AAUUAAUAAUAAAAAGGUAAACUUCAAAUACCACCCUUAGUUUCACACUUUUUUAUUUAGUACUUCAUAAUUUAAAGUAUAUCAAGUUAGUGUUCUGUAAUUUUAUUUUUAUCUUUUCGUCAGCUUUUUUGUUAAUAUUUCGUUAAAUUAUAUAAAAAAAAAACUUCAGAUACCCUACUUAAGUUUAUCAAAUAUUCUUUUUAGUACUAUUUAGUUUUAACUUUGUCACUAAUUUAACAGAAAAAAUUAGUAAAAUCGAUAAUAAAAAAUAAAAAUAAAAUCACAGGACACUAAAUUUAUACACUUUAAGCCACAUGGUACUAAAGUGAGAAAGUGUGAAACCACAAGGUGGUGUUUGAAGUUUUUUCUAGUAAAAAUACAGCAAUUUCUUAUAUAUCUAUAAAAAGUUUUUGACUUUCAUACUUAAUUUUAAAAAUACUCUUUUAAGAUUUCAAAAUCUUUAAAAUAUAUUUCUAGAGGAACUAGGCUACUAUACUAUCGGUAGGACGGAGCGCUCCGUGCUACCAAGUUGUUUUCGAUGAUGCGGCUUCCAAAUCGAUGAUCGGCUCUGUUAGACUUGAUCUACACUAUUGAAAGUAUUUAGAAACUAAAUUUCAUAAUUUUUCGAUAUCAUUUACCUAUCAAACAAGUAGUCCAAAAUUGAACAGCUGAAAAUAAAAAUCUCAUGAAAAAUGAUGAUAAAAGAUUUAAAUUCAAAAUCAGAUAUACUGAUCUUACUCUAAAUAGUGAAAAGAAUUUUCUAUAAAAUUUUCAUCGCAUUUGGAUUGUUUUUUACACCGUUAAACUCACAAACACACCACAUCGGCCAUUAAAAUUGUCAAUUUUGAAAUCUUUUGAUCACUAGUCAAAUGAUGUUGAAAAAAUAUGAAAUUAGUUUCCAAAUACUUUCAAUAGUGUAGAUCAAGUCUAACGAAGUCGAUCGUCGAUUUGGAAGCCGCAUUAUCGAAAACAACUUGGUAACACGGAGCGCUCCGUGCUACUGAUAGCAUAGUAGCCGGACUCUUUCUAGAGUUAAAUUUUAUUAUUGAACUUUUAGAAAUCGCCGUUAUUUCUGUAAAAUUUUUAUUUUACCUUUUCAAAUAUACCUUUUUACCGUCACUAACUUUUUUUAUUUCCCCUAAGUUAAGGGUAAAAGUAGUAUUUGACUUUUUGUCUUGUGAAAUAUAUCCUUCUAUUAUCAUCAAUUUUUUUUUUUUGAGAAUAGAUUAUCAUUAAUUUUUUUUAAUUUGCCCUUUAGUUAGGGACAAAAUAGAUAUUUUUACUAUUUUUUAAUUAUGGUAGAAAUUUAAUUGAGAUUUACUUAAAUCCGGUAUGAUUUAAUGGGAAUUAACAGGGGGGUACUUUUGAAUAACCAAGAAAUAUGUGAGGAGUAUAUUUGAAACCCAAAAAAAUAGGAGUUGAGGUAUUUGAAAAGUUUUAAGAGGUAUAUAAAUAAUUUUCUCUAAUAAAAUUAACAAGAUUUUUUAUUUUUAAUCCUAUUAAGUGUAGGGCUGUGAACGAGUCCAACACCAACGCGUUAAGAUCGGCUAGUGUUCUUUCGUUUAUUAACCAAGCCAAAUACAAACUCAAUUUGUUAAAAUAUCGAGCUAAAAAUUCAGCUCAUAUUCUGCUUAUUUAUUAAUAAGUCAAAUAUGAAUUGACUCGCAAACAGCAAAUUAGAUUGUCAACCUUACAACUGGAUAAAAAGUAAAAAAAAAAAAAAAAGAUUAAAAAACUAGAUUAUUAAUAUGAUAAUUAAAAUUUAUAAAAUAUAGACCUCUAUAUUUGGGUUGGCCAGAAGCUAUAUUGAGUCGAACACGAACGAACUAACUCUAAAUCGUGUUUGGCUCGUUUAUUAAACAAGUGAUCGAUCUUGAGCUCAUUUCAAACUGGAUUGCCGGCCCUAAUUAAGAGCAUAAGUAGCAAGCUAUAUCAUGCAAUACUACUAAUAUACAAUACUCUCACCGACCGUUCCUAGAGCAACUGACAAAGGGCUUGAUGGUUGGUACCCGAGACCCAAGUUCGAAUCCUAGUUGAUUUAUAUUUCUAGCUAAGUUUAUUUCUAAAUGAAAUAAACGAAGCGGGUAGCAUGCUUACAAGUACUAAUUACUGGGCACAUAUUGUUUAAGAUGUCAAAUAUUUAAAGGAAAAACUUCAAAAACCCCCCGUGGUUCCGACCGUUUUCACUUUAGUACCCUGUGGUUUAAAGUAUAUCAAUUUAGUGCUCUGUGGUUUCAUUUUUCUUUUUUUAUUAUCCAUUUUAUCAUUUUUUUUCUUUAAUCAGUGACAAAAUUAAAAUUAAAGAGUACUAAAGUGAAUAUUCGAUAAACCUAGGUGGAUAUCUGAAGGUUUUUGUAUAUAAUUUAACGAAAUACUAACGAAAAAGCUGACGAAAAGAUAAAAAUGAAACCAUAGGGCAGCAAAUUGAUACACUUUAAACCACAGGGUACUAAAGUGAGAAAGUGCGAAACCACAGGAGUUUUUUUUUGAAGUUUCCCUAUAUUUAGAAUCAAAGUUGGCAUGUUUCGUGCAAGAUCUAGCAUUAAAUUGGUCUCACAUUUAGUAAUGUUUAAGUAAUAAAAGCUUUGUGGUGAAGAAUAAUUUUAUUGAUUGAUUGUUGUUCUAAUAAUUUUAGAUUGUUAUUGUACACGUGAGGUUUAAUUGGACUGGACCAAACCAAUUAGAUGUUGAGCCUGUUUGGAUGCAUGAAUCGAGUGAUUGAAACUCGAAUGACAAAAAUCGAUACGUACGAAAUUAACCUUAUUUUGAGGGCAAUUUCAAACAAACCCCUCAAAAGUUAUAAAAUAUCAUAGUUGCCCUUUUAAAUUUAUCAAUAUUAUUUUUAUCCCUAUAAAUUAAUGAAUUAUAUAAAAAAAAUGCUCUUCAAUGUUAAUCAUUGAUUAAAAAUUUUAAACUAAUUUAUCCAUUGUUGUACCUAAUUAUAAAUAACUAUGUAGUAUCAUAUAGGGCUAAUAAAUUAAUUUUUUAUCAAAACAUAACUAAGUUUUUAUUUAUGAUUCAAUUUAUGAAUGCAUUUUUUUUUUUUUGCACUCAAGUUUUCAUUUUUAUCAAUAUCAUAUGGGUCACAUGUUUAAUCAUAAUAAACAAUUAGAUGAAGCUAAAACUAUAUUACACUUUUGUGAGNAAUAUCUAUCAAAUUAAAACUAAUUAAUUGCAACAAACUACACUAUAUAAAUAGCAAAUAAAAAAAUCAUAGACAAAAUAAAAAAAAAUAGACUCACUCAAGUUUUCAUUUUUAUCAAUAUCAUAUGGGUCACAUGUUUAAUCAUAAUAAACAAUUAGAUGAAGCUAAAACUAUAUUACACUUUUGUGAGUCUAUUUUUUUUUAUUUUGUCUAUGAUUUUUUUAUUUGCUAUUUAUAUAGUGUAGUUUGUUGCAAUUAAUUAGUUUUAAUUUGAUAGAUAUUUAAUUGUAUUUACAAUUUCAUCAAACAAAAUAAUGUAUAAGUUAAUUAAAAAAAUAUAGAAAAUAAAUGAUGGACAAAUGAAAAUUUUAUUUAGUUUUUUAGUAAAUUGUUAUCAAUUUGGGUACUUUUGAUAUUGACACUCUAGAGGGGUAUCUUUGUAAUUUAACGUUUUUGUUGUUUGGUUCGCCGUAAAAAAUUUACGGUCGGAACUCGAGUUAAUCUAAAAUGACGUAAUUGACUUCAAUACAUCGUGGCCGAAGUCAAUUACGGUGAAGGAAAGGUGAAGAAAAAAUAAUAAAAUAAUACACUAGGUAAAGAUAGUUAUAUUUAAAUAUAUUUAAUUAUGGUACUAAUUACUCUUUUAUCCGGUUGGUAUAUUUAAAAUAUGAUAAGUUAAAAUAUGAUAAGUUUUAAUUUUUUUUUAUUUUGUUUGUACAAUUAAAAUAUGAUAAAAAUUGAUUAAUUGAGUAUUAAUAUUUUUUUACUUUAUAAUUUUAUUAUUGUAUUACUAUAAUUUAUGUAUAAAAAAUAAUUUAGUUAUUUCAAAUUAAAUUUUAAUUAUAAAAAAUAAUUAUAUUAUUUUUAUUUAUUAAAUUAUUUAUUAUUUAUAAUUUUAUAUCAUAUAUUUCGUACUAAACAAACAGCAGAAUUAAUAAAACUUCACUUUAUCACUACAAAACAAACAACAGAAAAAAAUAGUUUUUAUUGAACUCCACUUCAACCUUAAAUUCGCUUCAACCGAAAGUCCAGUUUCAGUGAAACAAACAUGCCCAAAAUUGAAGUGCAUUCGGAAGUCGUGAGAUCAUGUCCUAAUUCUCAUUUACAAGCAUUCCCUAGCAGGAAAAAAUGGUGUCACGCGCAUAGUUCGUGCUUUUCUAGUUUAAUAUGAAGUAUGAAUAUCUAGAAGUUUUUCAUCAAGAUCUUUCUCACAACUACGUGAUGAAGCUGCAGUAGUAAAAGCUUCUAAUCAGAAUUUCUUUUCUAUAAUUCAAAUUUCAUGUCGACUCUCAACUAUAAUCAGAUUCUCAACUAAAAUAGACUCAUAACCGAAUGAGCGAAAGACUCUUUUAGUUCAGAGAUAAAAACGGUCAAAUAUGGUUGGAUUUUUUAAGAAACUAUAUUCCCAUCCUUUUUUUUUUUGCAUAUAAAUGUUAGAUUUUGACAUUCAUAUUCGCAUCCAAUCUAAUUUAAUGUCGAAUUCGAUCAGAAUUUACCUAGUAACAUCUCAAAAAUCAUUUUUUAGAAAUGCUAACGAAUGAUAAAUUAUUUUCACAUCCAUCAUAUUGGGCCCUAACGGGCGAGCCGAGCGGAUUAUGAAUCGACCAUUAUAUCCACCCGGCCCAUGGCACAGCACGGCACGGCACGGCACGACACCAUGCGACAGGAAACACUACUUUUAAUCUCAGAGCACUAAACCAUUAGCCAAACAACUACGACCCUUAAAAGCAGCAUUUACACAUCUUUAAAGCUUUGUCCUCACGCUAAAGUCCAAGACCCAAUUUGUACAAAACUACAAAUAUAUUACACCCCAAGAGAUAUUCUUAUCUAGACCCGAUCUACCACGUCAUCCAUCGACCGAGUCAUUUAAAACAGUUUCUACGUGGGUUUCCCACAUAUUUUAUUACAAUCCAACCACGUGUCCCAUGUUGAUUGGCUAGGACCUGGCACAGCAUCUAAUAUUAAAAAGUCUUUUUUACAAGAAAUUAUUAAUUUUGAAAGUGUAUUACAUAGGAAUCAAAAAAAUUUACAACUUAAUACUAUAGAAAGUAACACUAAUUAAUUAUUUAAAAAGGUUAAACACAUCCCAACUAACCAAACUUUUUAUUAAUUAGUCUGCAAACACCCUUUUAAUUUUUGAAAAGUUUUACAUUUGCCAUCUAAACUUUUACGAUUUUGUAAUUAAUUAUUUCAUUAAUUUAAAGAACUAAUAGACAAAAAGGCUAUUUUAUAUCGUCGGCAUGUGUUGUUUGUUAUAUUUUUAUUUUUUGAGUCGAAUAUAAAUUGCUAUAAUAUAAAUAUAAGUCAUUAAUUCCAAAUUUUAAAAUUUUGGGUUGCAAAUAUAAAAUUUGUAAAAUGAAAAAAAAAAUAGAUAGUUCUGAUAUAUUUAUUGCUGACUAAAAUAAGUAUUUAAAGUGUUAUAAUUUUCAGGACAUUAGCUCAAGUAGUGUAGUACAUUCAUAAACCUCCACAAUCGAAUGUAGAGCAAUAAUACAUGUGCAUUCAAAAGUGGGUAUAAAUUUUAGGCCAUACUUAUCAAAGGUUUAUAUUAUUAAGCUUUUCUUAUCACACUCUUAUUUUUUUAAUACUGAAUAUUAAAAAACAUUGUAUAUACUUUUAGGCUGUAUUUGAAUGUCAGAAUAAAAUAUCUAACAAUAAUUUAAUUAUUUGGUAUAAAAUUUUUUUUAGCUUGAAUGAAAAUUAAUUAUUUUGUUUUUAUUUUUUAAACAAAUCUUAGUAUUUGUGAUUUAGUAGAAUAGUAUACUUUACCUAAAAAUUUAUUUAUUUUAUUUCAAAAAGUAAUCUAAACGAUCAAUAUAGUGUUUAUUUUAAACAUUUCGUAAUAUUUUUCAUUGAGUUAAUUACACUAUUGGUCCACAACCUUUGUAUUUCUUUUUACUUUAAUUUACUUUUUUUUUUUCAAUCAAGUGUUUAACUACUUGAUUUUAUUACGAUUAAGUCCCAUACCAAAAGUUGGGAACCAAGGGUGUAAUUAACUCAUUUUCAAUUUAUCAAAUACUGUAUAAUUUAUACUCUAACUUUGGUGUCGGGUGUGAAACGUACGUACACCGGGCGCAGGGAAUAUUUCUCCACCACGUUUAAAGGGCAAGCAAUUGGCCAAAUUGGUAACGGCGAAACGAGACGACGCUCAAUCCCCAAAAUCCCCAAAUCAACAAAGAAAUCGAAGAUCGUGAUCGAGAGAGAGAGAAAGAGAGAGGAAGAGAGAAGCGCGAAGAAGCUUCGGGAAGAGGCGGCGGAGGGGUCAGCGCCGGUGCCGGUGCCGGUGCCGGUGCCGGAGCUGGGGGAGGACGCGAUCUACGAGGUGCUGCGGCGCGCGGACGCGCGGACGCUGGCGGCGGCGGCGUGCGUGAGCCGGCGGUGGCGGCGCCUCGCCGCCGACGAGCGGCUGUGGGAGGCGGCGUGCGUCCGCCACUGGGAGGCCGCGCGCGACUACGGCGGCGCCCGCCUCCGCCCCGUCGUCCUCGCCCUCGGCGGCUUCCGCCGCCUCCACUCCCUCUACCUCGCCCCCCUCCUCCGCCCCCCCCACCCCUCCCCCCCUCCGAUCGCCGCGUCUUCGUCGUCCCCGUCUCCGAUCGCCGCCUCCUCGCCGUCCCCGUCUCCGAUCGCCGCGUGGCCGAUGGAGCGCGCCGGCGCCGGCGAGGCCGAGGGCGGCGCCGGCGGCGGGGGGGAGGAGGUGGGGGAGGGAUGAGGUGCAGCUGUCGCUGUCGCUGCUCUCGAUAGGGUUCUUCGAGAGGAUGAGCGCGGGGGAGUACAAAGGAGGAGGAGGAGGAGGAGGAGGAGGGGAAGGGGACGGGAGAGGGUAGAGUCACUGCCGCUCCGGAUCGGAACCGGUAUGGUUACCGCCUCCUCUCUCCUCCUCCUCCACCUCCCCUAUCUCACUUUUUCUUUUUUUCUUUUUUUCUUUUUUUGAAGUUAAAUUUUGAUUGGAAAAUGGGUAGGGUCACCGCCCCGUUCACCGCAUCGGGUAUGCUUACCGCCUCCCCCUCUCCCUCUCUUCCUCUUGUCGUAUCUUUCCCUUUUUUUCUAUGUGCUUUUUUUUUUUUGUUUUUUUGUUUUUUUAUGUUUUCACUUAAUUUUGAGGAUAAAUAAGCAUACUUUUGGUUCUCAAACUUUAAAGCGUGUCACGUUUUGAUCCUCAAAUUUUAAUUUACUAUAGUUAUUGUAAUUUAGUACAAUUGAACUGAAAAUUAAAGUUAAAAAUUAUAGUAAAUUAAAGCUUGAAGAUCAAAAUCUCACACACUUAUAGUUUGAGGACCAAAAGUGUAAUCUAGCCUAUUUUUUAUUUGAAAUUUCUCUCUCUCUGUGUGCUUGUGUGUGAUUGUUAUGGGAUUAAUGUGUUUCUUCUUGUAAUAUCUAGUGUUGUAUAAUAUCAUUAAUAUUAUGCAGUGAUGAAUUAUGCUCUCUUUUUUUCUUCUAAUUAAAUACCAUCAAGAAGAUAAAACUAAUUGAAAUUAUAUAUUCAUGUAAAAAUCAGCAUUAACAGGUUGAGCUCUUCACAUUCAUCAGUUAAUGACUUGAAUUUUUGUCACUUAUGGCGUAAUAUUUUCUAAAUUUUUUUUCAUUUUAGCACAAAUGAGAAUGUUAAGAACAUAAAUUAGUUGUUUGUUUUGAAAUUGCAGAAUAUUAAGAUUGCAAUACUUUUUCUAUGUUUACAUAGUUUUGCUGUAUUUGUAAGUGAUGCAAUUAUGGGAUCAUUUUAUAAUCUAAAUUUGGUGUGAAAAAAUGACAUUAAGUAAUAUAAAGGGCCCUAUUGCAUAAAAAGAAAAAUCUAAUGAUGGUUUUUAUGAUGUUGCAAGAAUAAGCUCACAUUUCAAAUUUUAUAAAAUUAAUUUUAUUUUUUUUAACGGACCAAAAUAUCCUGCAUCCUUGCUCGAGUGGGGGAGAUGGAAGAGGAAGGAGAGGGUGUUGUUAUUUUAGUCCAUGUUUAAAAAAUAUAAAUUUAAUUUUAUAAACUUUAAAUUUUUUUUUUUUCAAAAUUAUGAAAUUAUUAAAUUUUUUUUCUGGAAAAGGGCCAGUACAAAAUAUUUGCCCCUGUUGGAAGGGGGAUUUAGGACCAGCCACUGGGGAAAGGUCUGAAACAGCAUUAUUGAGGCAGAAGAGGACAAAGGGAGAGUGAGAGUAUGAAUGAGUUAAAGAGAAGGGCCCACUCCCAAAGGGAGAGUGAGAGUAUGAAUGAGUUAAAGAGAAGGACCCACUCCCAACUCUUUCUCUCUCUUUAUAUGUGUUUGGCCAAUUUGCAUAAAAAAUUUAUAAAUUUUGAGCUUUAGUAAAAUUAGACCGUCUUUUUUUAUUUUACAGAUUCGGUUCGAAUAUUCAAUAAAUUGAUCAAAAUAUUCUUAUUAUUUUUUUCUUUCUUUUCUUUUUUUUUUUUUUAUUCUCUCGUUCGUUUUUUUUUUCUCUGUCCGAAAAAGGCAGCGGAGACAGAGGCGAAGAGGCGAAGGAGGAAACGGCCCGCCUUGCCUCUCUCACCCUCAUGCCCUCGCUCUCACCCGUGCAUCCUUGCCUUUUUUGCCUCUGAUUCCGUCGAGGCCGCGUCGUGACUUUUUUUUUUUUCCUCUCCAACCCUCCUCCACCAUAUCUGAUGACGAUGCCUCUCUCAUCCUUUCCCGCCCUUCUCGCCCUCUCCCUUUCCUUCCUCCUCCGACGCCAACACCUCUCCGCCGACGCCGACGCUGCGGAGGUCGCUAUAGUCUCGGAGUGAGGAUUUCUUAGCGGUGUUGUCGCCAUCGCCGGCGCCGUGGUUAUGGCCGUUGGCGGAGAGGCGUGACAAAAAAUAAUUGUAGAAGAAUGAAGGAGAAAAAUAUAAGAAUAACAGUUGAAACUACACCCAGAAAGUAGCAGUUGAAAAGAGUAAUUUUGAAUAAAAGAUAAGUUUACCAACCUAAUCAAUUUUAAAAUAAAUAAUUUUUUUUCUACAUUAGAGAUAAUUUUACCACCACAUAUGGAGAGUAAUGAAAUUUUACAAAUGAACUUCUUAACUAAAUUCAACUAAAUAAAUUAUUUAUAGUUACANCAUAAUCCGCCCCACCUCGUAACCCGCCUCCCGCCGGCGCCCCGAAUCCGCCCCACCAACUAAUAUUUUUUAUAAAAUUAUAAUAUUAUUAAUAUUUUGUAAAAUAUAAAUUAAUAAUUUUUAAUAAUAUUAUAUAUAUAAUUUAACAAUAUUAAUGGUAAAAAUUAAAAAUAUCAAUCACAAUUCAAAACAAAAUUCAAAUAUUUCAAAUACAUUAGAAAUGAGAGUAAUAACUUAUUUGUAUUUUAAACUUUUUUUUAUAAAUAUAUUAUUUUUUGGGAAUAUUUUUUAAAAAUACAAAUGAUAUUUGGGGCGGAUUCGGGGCGGAUUCGGGGCGGGGCGGAUUCGGGGCGGAUUCGGGGUGGGUCAAAAUUUUUUCCGUUUCCUGCCCUGAAUCCGUCUCGGAUCAUAAAACUUACCCCGUUUCCUGCCCCGAAUCCGUUUAUUUUCUCCCAUUUACCGCUCCCGUCGGGGCGGAUCGGGGCGGGAGCUCCACCAACCCGGAUCCGUUUGCAUCCCUAGUAGCAGUUGAAAAGAGCGAUUUUGAAUAAAAGAUAAGUUUACCAACCUAAUCAAUUUUAAAAUAAGUAAUUUUUUUUCUACGUUAGAGAUAAUUUUACCACCACAUAUGGAGAGUAAUGAAAUUUUACAAAUGAACUUCUUAACUAAAUUCAACUAAAUAAAUUAUUUAUAGUUACAAUGCUUUCUGCUGCAUUCAAAUAAACGAGAUAAAUAUAGCUAUAACUCUUGUAUCUCUGAGGGAGUCGUUUGGUUAGAUGUAAUUGAAAAUACAAUGUACUUUGAGAUUUUAUAGUUGGAAAUAUUAUAGUUACAAUUAUAUAUAUAUAUUGUUUGUUGGAUGUGAUAGAAAGUGCAGCAACCAUAAAUAUUUUGUUUGAUUAUGUGCGGUUGAUAAACGCAUUUACAAGAUUUUAUAAUUUUUAUAUGAAUAGUGAGAUUACUCUCUACAUAAAAAAAUAUAUAUAUUUUUCUAUUAGGAAGAUUUUUAAGGAGGUAAACUUAUCAUUGCUUAAUGUUAUUCUUUCCAACUACUGCAGUAAAAAUUACGGUCAAUUUAGGUGUAGUUUCAACUGUUACAUUUGAGCCUCUUUGAGUAGUUCCAACUGCAAUAAUUAAAUUCAAAUAUAUGAAACCAAACAGCGUAUACUCGCUAAAAAGAAAAAUGACGAACAAUUAUUUGUUUUUUAAGUUUUAUUAAUGACGAUAAAUCGUUUACCGUAUUAUAUUUAUUGGACAAAAUAUGUUUAUUUAGCCAAAUAAAUUUUUAACAAAAUUGUUUUUCCAAAUAUAACUUUUUUAAAAAUUAUUAUGAAAAAAAAUCUAUUUAUUCAAUAUGAUACUUGUGUAAAUAGCAAUCAUUUAUUAAUAACUAGCGAUAAUAUAUAAUAUAUUCGUCAAAACUUUAAAAAUAUCUUUAAUAUAUCCUUGGUGGUCCUAAAUGCCCUUAUCGAUUUUUAAAUUUUUUUCAAAUAUAACCCUAAUUCUAAAAUUUACUAGUGAAAUUUGGGAUUUAGAAAGGUAUUUUGGGAAUAUAUAAAGUGAAAUUAAAAAUUUUUAAUCUUGAUGAGGAAUGUAUAAAAGUCUACUGAGAAAUGCUUGGAGUACCCCAUUUUUAAGUACCCUAUUUUAUUGUUGUUGAGUUGGCAUACAUUAGGGUUAGGGCUUAGGGUUUAGAGUACAAUGAUUGCAAUUAACAUUUAAUAAUAAUAUUUGGAAUUUGGGUUGAGCUCUUAUACUUUUAAAAGUAUAGGAGUAUUUGUGCCUGUAACUUUUUAGCUUUCAGAUUUUCUUAAUAUUCGUAUAGCACUACAAACGAUAUAUUUUGGUGUGAGUGGAGUGAUGGAACUCAAGUUCUAUCACUUUCGUUAUUUAUUUUGGUAUAAAUCAAAAAUAUAAUGUAAUUCAAGUUACGUUAGAUCUCUACUUCACCUAUUUUCGACUUCCUCCUCUAAAGUGCCGAACUCGACUUCGCCACACUCAACCUCUUCUAAAAAAUUUAUUAAAUAGUAAAUCUAAACUCUACUUUCUUUAUAAUGAGUUAAAAUUAUCUUAUUUAUAAUAAAUUAGGAUUACCUUUAAAUAAUAAUAAAAAAUUUAAUUAUAUAAUAAGUUAAAUUUUUUAGCGAUAAAUUUAUCACCACAUUUAGGAGAUAGCGGGAUCCACUUACUUACAUCAAAAUAAAUAACAAAACUUAAAAAAUUAAUUUUACAAGUACUCAGUUACAUCAAAACGAAUAAAAAAAUAAUUAAAUUUAACUUUCAGACUGUACGAGUUACGUCAAAAUAAAUAAUAAAAAAAAAAUCAUAUUUUAAGAAAAUUUAAAUAUCACUAUACUUGACUUACGUACGAUCUAUAGAUUCUUCAAUCAGCCCCUUGAGUCUUCUUUGUUAGUGCUACAUGAAUCUUAAAACGAUUCAUCAGUUAAAAAGAUACAAACUUAUUUAAGUUUCUGUGCAUUCUCAGAGCAUACUUUUUAGGCGGUGUUUGGUUCCUCGUAAAACCGGCUUAAAAAAAAAAAAAAAAAUCUCAAUGGAAAAGUACAAUUCCAUGGUGAACCUUUUCUCUCGUGAGAGUAUAGUAGUCGGACUCUCUCUCUCUCUCUCUCUCUCUCUAUAUAUAUAUAUAUAUAAAUUUAUUUUAUAAAUAUAUAUUUAUUUAUUAUAUAUAGUAUUUUAUUUUUAUAUAGAAAUAUUAUUAUAUAAUAUUUUAUUCAUUAUUUAUUAAUAUUUCUAAAUAUAUAACUUUUAUAUAUUAUUAAUAUAUGUUUAUUAUAAUUUUAAAUAUAUUUAAUAUAUAUAUAAAUUAUAAUAAUAAUAUAUAUAGUAUGUUAAUUAUAUAUUAUAUAAUAAAAAAUAUAUUAAAUAGUUUUUUUAUUUAUUUUUCUUUUCCAAUCAAUCAAACUAACUGUAAUGGAAAAUUAAUUUUCUUUUUCUAUAAGUCAAAUACUAAACACGUAAAACGUUUUUUCCAUCGAAAUUUUUUUUCCACCGAAAUUAUUAUUUUCAGUUUUACGAGGAACCAAACACGCCCUUAGCAACAUUCAUUGCUGAUAUGAAAAAUAUUUUUUUGCUUGUUUGGUUUGACGUAAAAAUAUUUAUUUUUAUAAAUUUGGAGAAAAAUUAAAGUUUUCGUUUUUGCUUUUUUUUCCAGCAAAACAUAAAAAUUCAAGUUGCGUAAAAUUUUUUCAUUGAUUUUUUGACCGAAUCAAAUAAAUGUGAACUUUUUUUUUCCUUUCAACCAAAUAAAUAUUUAUAAAAGAUUAUUUGUUUUACAAACCGAACACUAUAAAAGCUUCGUUUGGGAUUGCAACGAGAUUUCCUUACGUGCGAUGAGAAACGACGAUGAGAAAAUCUCUUAUUUGUUUCCGUACGUAAUUGUUACGUUCUGCAUAUUACAGUUAAUCGGUUACGCGGUCCCACCGGAGAACACAGAAGUAUAUCUCUAUAUAUUUUUUUUCAAUUUCAUUCUAUCUAAUAGAAUUAGAUAAAUCUCAAUAAACACGGAACUAAGCUAAAGUGUAAGAAAAAAACUUUUCACCGAAAUUUUUUGUACAUAAUUAUUUUUUACGAUUUUACGCUGUACCAAAACGGAUCUUAGCCAUGCGCAAAAUGUAUGAAUACACAUGGUGCAGUGAGAAUAGUUCAUAUUUUUGUUCUCUUGUCCUUUUUCUCCUUUCUCAUGUGUUAUAGCCGUAUAGGUCAAGGCAUGAGGUCCAUAGCCUUUGGAGUUAUUAUUGUGUUGUGGUGUUUAUGAGGACAAAGGGAGAGCCAAAGAGAGAGAGGGGUGUGUGUUUUGGAAUUUGGUAUGUUUUGGCCCUUUUGGGGAAACCCCCUUAUAUUAUUUUAUUUAUUUAUUACAUGUUUGAUGUAGUAAAUGCUCUUUGAAUAAUAAGUGGGCUAUAUAAGUGUUUUUUUGUUUGGAUGUGCCCACAUGUGGCUUUUCUUUGUGGUGGCUCUUUGUGGAUCUGAAAAGAUGCCCUAUCAGUAGUGUUGAUGGAGACAAUUUUUAGGCUGUUGUACCAAUGUUUUUUUUUUUUUUUUUUUUAGUAUAAACUUCAAAUACCGUGUCUUUUAGGUGGCGUUUGGUUUAAAAAUAAAAGGAGAAUAAGUUCUUGUUCCCCCUUUGUUUCCAAAUAUCACGUUUUGUUUUCGGAAACAGCAGUUUCCAGAUUCCUAGAAUAAGUUGGUAUAAGGCUGAACUGUUGUUCCACCUUUUUCUGGAACAAACUUGUUCCCGGAUGAGAAGAAGGUUAAUUAAAGUCUAAAUUUAAUUUUAACGACAGUAAAUCUUUAAUUAAUCUAAUUAACAUAUUUAAAGUAUUAUUUAUUUAAAAUAAUUAAUUAAUUUAUUAUUUAUAAUUAAUUAUUAUUAACUAUAUAAUAAUUAUUAUUCUUAAUAAUUAGAUAAUAGAUAUUAUUAAUAAUUUAUUAUUUAUAAUUAAUUAUUAAUAAUUUGAUAAUUAAUAUUAUUAAUUUAUUAUUUAUAAUUACUUAUUAAUACUUUUUUAUAAUUAUUAUUAUUUAUUAAUAAUUAGAUAAUCGAUAUUAUUAUUAAUUUAUUAUUUAUAAUUAUUUAUUAAUAAUUAUUAUUUAAUAAUAAUCUAUUAAUAAUUAUUAUUAAUUAGAUAAUCGAUAUUAUUAUUUAUAAUUAAUUAUUAAUAAUUUAUUUAUUAUUUAUUUUUAAGUAAUAUUUUGAUGUUAAUUAAUGAGAUAAUAUAAUUUUAAUUUCAAAUUAUAACUCUUAUUACUCUUGUUCCAAUCUAACCAUCCAAAUACUAUUUACCUUAUUUCUAGAGACAACUCAAAUUUCAUUCAAAUGCAAAAUUGGUUUAGUUUCUUCUUAUACCUGAACUUAUACCCUAUCCCUGGAACAAGCAGUUUUUAUUUAUACCCAAACCAAACGCAACCUUAGCAUCUUUAGUUAACUGCCUGUUAAAUUAUAUACAAAAAAUACUUCAGAUACCCAAGUUAUAAUCUGUUGAAUAUUCACUUUAGUACAUUAUGAUUUACCAAAGUUUUACUUUAAUAUCAUAUGAUUUUAAUUUUGUCACUGAUUUAACAGAAAAAUUAAGAUUGCAAUACUACAGAUAAAGUGAUACGUUUUAAAUUAUUGGGUACAAAAGUGAGAAAGUGCAAAAUUACAGAAUAGUAUUUGAAGUUUUUUCUAAUUUUUAAAAUAAAAAAAUGGUUUUUGGGUAAAUUGCAUUUUUGGAUCUUGAGUUAUGAGUCUUUGGGUAACUUGCCUAUGAAACUUAGAUAGCUAGAAUCCCACUUAGUAAUAUACCCAUUUUUAAUUUUUUUAAUUAUUUUCUUCUUGUUGUUAUCUCCACUCUUUUUAGUGUGAACUAGUCAAAUUUGAAUUAUAUUUUUCCUCAAAAUGUAAAUCAUCAAGAUCUAUUUGACUUUUGUUUUCAAGAAACGCCACCUCUAUAUUCAAAAAUGUGGUUUAAACAUUAUACAUCAUUCAUAAUUCUCCAUUUCAUCGCGCUAGUUUUAUCACAUCCUUUUCAUGCUUUUAGUUAACUAUAGGUAAAAUACUUAACCUUAGUUAGUUAAUGAGAUGAAUUGAUCUCCUUACCCUUUUUUAAUUAAUAAUUAAGAUUUUUGAAGGAAUAUAUUUAUGAUGGGAAAAAUGUUAUUUCACUUAUAAAAUAAACAGUGCUUUAAUAGUAACAAACCAGAAUGACAUAUUUGAAAAUAUUAGAAUUUUUAUAUAGACAACAUAUGAAAACUGAACUUUGUAGAAAUAUAAAUGUAAUUUACUAUAUUUGCAGGAAUCUAUAUAAAUUUUUUUUUUUUUUUUUUUUUUGUUACAAAACAAGGACUCAACAUGGCCCUUGGGAUAAUGCGGUACAAAAUUUAUACUCUUUUUUAGGUGCACGAAUAAUAUUGCUUUUAAAAAGUAAGGAUGUGAAAAGACUAGUGUGAUAAAAUCGGCCUAUGAAUGGGCAGAGUGUCACAUUGACAUUCACUUUUGGUAUUAUUAGUUAUCUUUGGUUAGAAGUUUUAAAUUAAAACCAAAUCAUCGCAACAAUAUGUCAAAGGUAAAACAAAAAAGUAAAUUGGUCCCCUUCUUUCUUUAGCAUGAAAUUUUGGGCUAGUGAUUAACGCCAACGAUCCGCAAACCACAAGUGGUAUCAAAGCUUUAAUUUUCUUUUAGUUCUAGUUUUUGUUUUUAGAAUAGUAGUUAGCCCAAAAAGUGUUGGUUGGGCUUUCAUGGUUUCAUAUCCUAUAUACCAAUGUUAGUGUAGUUGAUUAAGUUGACCAAAGCCUAGUUCUCUUGGGUCAACAAAGUUGGGCCACUUGGGAUAGCCCAAGCCCAUUCACACCUCUAAUUUUAUUUUAGGGAUAACUGCCUAUAUACCUCUCAAAACUUCGGAAACAUCUAAUUUUUUUUAUACUUUCUUUUUUGGUUUCAAAUAUACCUCUCGUUGUUUCUCUGUUAUUCAAAAAUACUCCUGCAGUUAUCAUUCGUUAAGUUAUCUCGAAUUAAACGUGAGUUAUAUGUCUACCAGAAUUUUAAAAAAAAUUAAAAUACCUAUUUUGCCCUAAAAUUAAAGACAAAUAAGAAAAGUUGAUAUCGGUAGCAGAGUAUAUUUGAAAAGAUAAAAAAUUAAAAUAUUUAUUUUGCCCCUAACUUAAGAGCAAACAAGAAAAGUUGGUGAUGGUAGAACCGUAGAAAGAUAUAUUUGAAAUGGCAAAAUAGUAACUUUACAGAGGUAAUGGUUGUUAGUAACAGUUUACUAAUAAAAUUUAACUCUAGAGUUAUAUAUUUGAAAUAACUAGAACGUUAAAAAUAUAUUUUUAAUAUUAGUCUUUUAAGAGGAAUAAAUUAGAAAGUCAAAAAUAUUUUAGGGGUAUAUAUAUGCAAUUGCCUCUUUAUUUUAUUGAAAGUUGAAGCCAUAUUGUUUAGGGUUAUAAAUUGCCCCUAUGAGGUUUCACGCUUUUUUGACACUAUUUAUAUGCACUAUUUUGAGGGAACGGUAGCAUAUUAUCAGUUUCGUUUAUUUUUUUAUAUUAUUUAUCUAACGAUCAGAAGGUUGCCAAUUUAUACAUUUUUGAGAGUGAUAGAAUGCUACUUGCUUCUUUCAUUUUUAUUUUUAUUUUUUUCGAAAUGGACUUAGCUGAAUAUGUGAAACAUAUAAAGCUUCGAACUUGGUACCAAUCAUCAGGCCAUUUUGCCACUUGUGCUAGGAAAGGUCAGUACCAAUUUAUACUUUUAAUAAUUGAAUAUAUAGGGUAUUUUUCUAUUUAACAGUGUAAAAGAGCUCAAAUCAAUUAAUGGUGUAAAGUAAUUUUGUUCGAUGAGAGCGGUAGAGGAGGAGAGAGAGGAAAUGAAAGGAGGGAAAAAGGAAGCAAUGGCGAGAAAGAGGGAGACGAAACGGGAGGAGAAAAAUAAACGAGAGAAAAAGGAGAUUUAAUCUAAAAAUUCAGACUUAAUCUAAAAAAUCGAAAAAAAAUGGUCUAUGUUUGCAAAAACAUAAAACUGGCGGAAUUUUUAUACAAAUUGGUCUAAAUUUUUUUAAAAAUUUAUAAUUUGGUUGAUGCAAACUGAUACAAAAAUUACUAACAUGGUGAUAUUGAGCAUUUUAAUUGGAUGGUUAUUAUAAUUCAUAAGAAAAAAGGUUUAAUUCCCAAGUAGGAUGGUAAUUAUAAUAUAACCAAAGAGAACUAACCAAUAAGAAACUAUCAUGUUGGCAUAUUUGAAAAUUUUAAAAUUUGUAUAUAGCAAAACAUUUUGAAAUCCCUGAAAGAGCAUGAGGCCUAGUUUGAAAUUUCAAAUUCAAGUCAAAUAUAAAAAUAAAAAUAAAAAUUCAUAUUUCAUAAAAUGGAGAGUCAAUAGAAAGAUUGAACUGAUAUCAUUCAUUCUAAUUUUACCUCUCAUCAGAGCUCUUUUGAUAGUCAUAGAAAAUUAUUUAGUGACUGAAAAUGAAAUAUUAAAGUUUAAAAUUACAUACAGUCAAUAUGAGGUAGCUACCUAUUUUCUACCAUCUUUUAUUAUCUUCUCGCACACCAGGCAGGGUUAAUUUCAUACAGGUUCCUACAAAUAUAGUGAAUGAAAAAUAUAUCCUUACAAAGUUCAACUUUCAUAUGUUCUCACUACAAAAGUUCUGAUGUUUUCAAAUAUGUCUUUUUGAUUUGUUACUGUUAGAGAACUGUUUAUAUUUUCAAUUUUGUCAUCACAAGUAUAUCCCUCCAAAAUCCAUAACAGUAUAAUAUAAAAAAGUAAAAAUAUGAAAAACUAACCAGAGUUACGCAGUUAACCUAUGGUUAACUAAAUUUAUCUAACGGAUUCUAACAGUAAGAAUAUAUUUGAAAACAUCAGAACUUUUGUAGGAACACCAUAUAAAAAUUAAACCUUGUAGGAAUAUAUUUGUCAUUCGCUAUGUUUGCAGGAAUCUGUAUGAAAUUCACCCAUAUAUAAAAGGGAAGAUACAGACAACGAGAUCAAUCUCAAUUGAUCAAACCCAAUCUAUUCUGUCUAUAACAAAUGACAAAAUUAUCAUCUUAUGUAGAGAAUUUGUGUUCACAAAAUUACAAAAAAUCAACUCUCUAUCUUCUAAGAGGAUUUGAGUCCUAUCUUGGUUCCACACUUCUUGGCUUCUACAAUAUUAAUGCCAAUUCCAAUUCCUCAAAUAAAACAAAUAAAAAAAUAGAAAACUAAUCCCAUUCUCUGACACACCCCUCCAAAAAAAAAAUAAAAAUGAUAGGUUUGCAUGUCAAUCUCCUAGCAUUGUAUUAAUGCUACCCAAUAGGCCAACAUUGACAUAUUUAAUUAGAACAACAUUCAACUUACAAUCUAUUGUUAAAUAUGAAGUUAAAUCUAAGAUGCGGAUUCUUCUAGGUCACACUAGGUUGAUUUGACAAUUAAUAUUAUUAAAUAUAAUUUAAAUUAUUUAAGUUUUAUAUAAAUUAAACUUUAUGAUAUCAUAAUUAUUUUUAUAUAAUAAUCAGAGUAUUAUGAAUUAUGCUGGUGGUACACUUAAAACUAGGUUGUAGAUUUUAUAUCCCUAUCUAUUGGAUGAAUAAGGUGUAAAAUUUAUAAUAAAAAAUAGGCAUAUAAGUAGCAUUUAUCAUUAUAAAUUAAAAUUAAUUUCAUACAUAUCCUUCCUCCAAUCUUUAAUUACAUAGAUAUUCCUCUCAAAAUAUAAAUUUAAAAAGAAUAAUUAUCUAUAUACCCCUCAAAAUUUUACAAAUAUCUAAUUUGCCUUAUUUUCUUUUGUGUUUUCUUUUUUUUUUUUUGAGAGAUAGGUAGUACGCUACCUGCUUCGUUUAUUUCAUUUAGAAAUAAAUUUAGCUAAAAAUGUGAAUCAACUAGGAUUCGAACUUAGGUCUCGGAUACCAACCAUCAAGCCCUUUGCCACUUGCUCUAGGGACGGUUGGUUUUUCUUUUGUGUUUUCAAUAUACCAUUCAUAUGUUUCUUUGUUAUUCAAAAAUACCCCCGCAGUUACCACCCGCUAAGUUAUCUCAAAUUAAACGUGAGUUAAAUAUCUAUCAGAGUUAAAAAAAAUAAAAUAUCUCUUUUGUCUCUAACUCAAGGGCAAGUAAAAAUGUUAGUGAUGAUAGAACAUAUAUUUGAAAUGACCAAAAAUUAAAAUACUUCUUUUGCUCCUAACUUAAGGACAAAUAACAAAAGUUGGUAAUAGUAGAAGGUAUAUUUGAAAGGAGUAAAAUAGUAAUUUUAAAAAGAUAAAAACUAUUGCCAACAGUUCACUAACACAGUUUAAUUCUAGAAAUAUAUUUGAAAUAAUUUGAACAUAAAAAAGGUAUUUCUUAUAAGAUUAAUUCAUACAGGUCCCUGCAAAAUAGUAAAUUGUAAAUAUAUUCCUACAAAGUUCAACUUUUAUAUAUUGUUCCUGUAAAAGUUCUGAUGUUUUCAAAUAUGUCCCUCUAGUUAGUUACCAUAUCACUCACAGAUUAUUUAAUAGGAAAAUGUACGAAAAAUUAUCAUAAUAUCCAAACUGGUAAUAAUUUAUUAAAAAACAACAUAACAUUUUUUUUGUUUUGUCCAUCAUCUAUUAUCUAUAUCAUUUUAAUUAACAUAAAUACUAUUUUGUUUUAAAAUAUUAUAAAUACAAUUCAAUUUAUACUAAUCUAAUUGCAACAAACUACACUAUAUAAAUAGUAAAUAAAAAAUCAUAUUAAUUUAGAUAAAGAGAAAAAAAGAUUAACAAAAAAUAUAUAUAAUAUAUUUUUAGUUUCAGCUAAUUUUUUAUUAUGAUUAACAUGAGAACCAUAAGAUAUUGAUAAAAAAAACUUGAGUACGCAAAAAAUACAUUUUAUAAAUUGAAUUAAAGUUAGUUUUUGCUAAAAAAUAAAUUUAUUAGCCUUAUAUAAUACGACACAAUUAUUAUAAUUAGAAAUAGCUAAAAGUAAAUUAGUCUAAAACUCUAAUCAUUGUAAUGGAGGGCAUUUUUGAUAUAAUUCAUUAAUUUAUAAGGGUAAAAAUGAUGUGAACAAUUUUAAAUGAGUAUCCACAUGAUUUAUAACUUUUGAGGGACACGUUUGGAAUUACACUAUAAAUUAUAUAAAAUUUUCAAGCUAUUAAAAUAUUAAGUAAAUGAUGUCAAAAUUUUUGCUUUUGAAAUUAUUCAGAUAAUCUAAAUUACAUUUAACAACGCACAUUAUUCUUUGAAACACAAUACAAAUUAAGACUCCCCUAUUAUAGGCCAUUUUUAAAUUAAUUGCUCAACUUUUAUUUUGUUUCGGUAAAAACGUUCAGAACUUAUCUGAAUUACAAACUAUUUUAAUUUAAUUAUUCAAUCUUUUAAAAUUUAAUUUUACUGACCAAACUUUUGAUUUGUUAGAUUUGAGUUAGUCAACGUCGCUUCGACUUCAAUAUGUAAAUUAAUUAUGUUUUAAUAAAUUUAUAAUUGUGAGAAUUAUAUGAAAUAUAUUCACAAAAGCUGUAAAGAUAAGCUACGCAUUCAAAUUUUGAAAUUACAUAUAUAACAAAUAACUUACUUCUUUUAACUUUUGAUUCAAAAAAAUUAAGUGAAUUUUAAUAAAUUAAAUUAAAAUUUAAAUUAAUAUUAUUAUCUAAUCUAUUAAAUUUAACAAAAUUCUAAUUAUUUUAUAGGCAAUAAAUUAAAAAUAAUUAAUAAUAAUAAAUAGUUAACAGAGUCAUGAGCUGAGAAAACAAAUCAGCCUAAGUCAGAAAUUUAGAAUAUGUGAAUGAAAGAAUAAGAAAAUUGAGAAGCCUAUUUGAAAAAUGGGCUCUAGUUAAUGAGACUAAUUCAUACUUUUCUUCUUUUUUUUUUUUUUUUUUUACUUACAUAAAUUUAUUAAAUAGAAUAAACAGAAAAUGACAUGAACAUAAUUUUUUUUAGGAUAAACUUCAGAUACCACUCCUGUGGUUUCGCACUUUCUCAUUUUAGUACCCUGUAAUUUAAAAUGUAUCAAGUUAGUGUCAUGUGGUUCCAUUUUUAUGUUUUCGUCAGUUCUUCGUUAAUAUUUCGUUAAAUUAUAUAAAAAAAGCUUCAGAUACUCUACCUAGGUUUAUCAAAUAUUCACUUUAGUAUUCUUUAAUUUUAACUUUGUCACUGAUUUAACGAAAAAAUUUAGUAGAAUCGAUAAUAAAAAUAUAAAAAUAAAAUCACAGGAUACUAAAUUGAUAUACUUUAAACCACAGAGUAUUAAAGUGAAAAAGUGUGAAACCAUAUAGGUGGUAUUUGAAGUUUAUUAUUAUUUUUUUUUUAUAUAUAGUUUACUCAUAUAUGAUUACUCACCUACCAGUUAGUGCACUUAAGGUUUUUUUUUUUUUUUUUUAAAGAAAAUUUGUGAUAUUAUCGAAAGUUGCAGCUAAGUAGGCUAGAGCUAGGUGGUUGAAAAAAAUUGAAUUUAAAAAAAAAAAAUGUGCGGUGAAUGUGAUGGCUUGGUGCACCUGGUUCAUUACGUGGUGCGCCCGGUUCACUUAACAGUUUCUUCUUGUAACGCUGAGGCAUAUUAUAUGAUCACCAUAAUGAUCAUCAAUCUACCUUUUUUUUUCAUUAGGUCAUUAAUCUAAUUAUUGAAGCCUUUUGCUGAUUGAUAUAAUUUUUUGGUCAAAGUAAGAUGGUAAGUUUGCUUGUAAAAGAUGUCACGCCACAUAAAUGCACAAAAGAAUAUAUAAAUAAUUAUUUAUUGUAUUGAUUAAUUUUAUUUACUUUUUUAUAUUUUUAGCGUCUUAUUUUAUUUUUUCAUUUCUUCUUUUAUGUUAAAUAUAAAAAUAUUUAAAAUCGCUAUCUUUUAAUUUAAAUUUUUAGAGUACAAUAAUUAUUUUACGUAGUAUUAGAGUAGAAAAUUUUGAGUUUGAGUUACGGCAAACUCCUUAAUGCUUCCGACCAAGAAAACGAAUUAUUCAAAAAACAUAAAAUUUUGUUAACAAAGAAUAAAAAAAUAAACUUUUAAAACAAUUUUACUAAGAGAGAGAAUCAAAAUUCUUAUUUAUUACCAGCAAUGUUAUUUUUGCUACUACACAGUAUAUAUGGAAGAAUCUAUGUUAUGCUAUACUUUAUUAACUUGUUACUUCUCACCAUUAUUCGCAAUCAUUGUCGAUCACCAUUGUUGCUGCUAUAUUGUUACUUGAUGCUCUCCUCAGUAGUAUCGUUGUUAUCGCCGCUGCAAACGUUACUGCUAGUGGUAUCACUAGUACCAGAUACUACUAUACUGCGUAACUCGUCGGCGAAAUUUUGAAUGUUCCGAUCGGACGACCCGCCCUCCGCGACGGCAGCUGCCGCCGCCUCCUUCCACUUGGCGGCCCGCGCCCUCAUCCCCUCCGCCUCCGGCCGCCGCACCCCGACUCCGUAAACGUCCACCAGAAACUUGGCGUUCGUGACCUGAUCCCCCCACUGCGGGAACGCGAUCACCGGCAGCCCUGCCGACAGUGCCUCCAGCGUCGAGUUCCACCCGCAGUGCGUCAGGAAGCACCCGACGGCCGGGUGGCUCAGCACGCGGUCCUGCGGACUCCACCCGACCACGAACCCUCGACGUCCCACAUCCCCCUCGGUUGUUGUCAAACCUUCCAGAAAGUCCUCCGGCAGCAAGCCGCGGCUCUCCUGCCGGACGACCCACAGAAACGGCCGGCCGGAGUCCCGCAAUCCCCAGGCCAUCUCUGCCAUCUCGUCGGCCGUCAGCACGACGACGCUGCCCACCGAGACGUACGCGACAGACUGCCUUUCCUGCGCGUCGAGCCACGACAUGCAGUCGUCGGCGGGCGUUAAGAGGUCCCCGCGGAAGGGGUCGGUGAGCGGGCCGACGGGGGUGAGGGGGCGGAGGGAGGAGAAGGCUGCGAUAGCGUCGUGCUCGAGCUCGUUGAAGGAGUUGGCGAGCAGCCAGCGGGCCUUCCCGAGGUUGCCGAAGCUGGCGAGGAUGGUGUCGGCGAGGAGUUUGUAGGGGUUGGAAGGGUGGAGGAAGGAGGGGACGUCGGCGGCGGAGAGCGGCGGGAGGCCGGGGAGGGAGACGGGGGGGUCGGAGUCGGAGAGAGGGAAGGCUGCCAGGCGGUGGUGGUAGUGGUAGUAGGCCGAGAAGACCGCGCACGACUGCACCCAGAGGACGGCCGCAGGGAUGCCGAGACCUUCCGCGACGUCGAGCGCCCACGGCAGGAACGGGCUGCCGACGACGCAGGUGACGGGGACGGUCUGGCGGCGGAGGAGCGCGGCCAGGGAGGGAGGGCCGGCGGACGCGAGGUGGCGCAUGAGGUCGUCGAGUGCUGCCAGCGGGCCGGACGGCUGGUCGGAGAGGAAGUCGAAGCGGAAGUUCGGAAGGGGAGAAACAUCGGAGGAGGAGGAGAGGAGGCGGGCGCCGAUGUCGGAGGUGGAGGUGAAGGUGACGAGCAGGCCCUUCGCCGCCAGGCGCCGCGCCAGGCGGAGCACCGGGUUCACGUGGCCCUGCCCCGGGAAUGCGAUCAGAAGCACAUGCGGCGAAGUCGCCGCAGCAGCAGACGACGACGACGACGACGACGACAAAGAGUCUUCUCCCAUAUUAUAUAUGCUCGUUAAAAUUAGAGUAGAGUGCAGCGAAAAUUUACAAACUAAAUACGUAGUAGGUCUGUGGGCGUGGUAGAGACGGGGGCAAUAUAAAUGAGAGGGGCGAUGUAGUAGGUGUGUGGGUGUGGUAGAGAUGCGGGCAAUAUAAAUGAGAGGGACGCUGGGGAAAGUGCGUUCGGGCUGAGGGAAAUGGAUAGGAUUGUUAAUGACCAAGCAGUUUUUUUUUUUUAAUUUUUUCCUUUUGUCUUCUGUGAAAGGCAAUGAUGUAUGCAGUGUUUUAUUUGCAAUAACUUUUAUAUAUAUGUAUAUAUAUAUAUUAUUUUUUUUUUUGUUAUAUAGUAUAUUAUAUAGAGCUAGCUGACUAUAUAUCUAUAUCCGAGCUCCGGUAUACGAUUAUAGUAUUUGGUUUUCGAUCUGGUGGAGGCGUUCAGAAUCAACGAUCCACACGUUAAAAACUGGGAGUGCGGGUAGGGGUAUUUGAAAGUUCCAGAAAUAAAAUUUAGGUAGUAGUUUUUCAGCAUAGUUUUACUUUUGAGAGUCGAAACUAUUUCAAAAUUAUGCGAGUGAAUGGGUGGUGGUAGGGUGAUGAGUUUGGAGGGUUUACGGGGUAGAAGAUAUCUAAUUUCUUCGAACUUUGGGAUAGAAAGAUGUAUUUUAAACGGUUGGUGAGUGAGGAUGUCAAGGUGUGACAUUCGUGGACGUUGGAGAUUUAAAGUGCGGUGAGGUAGUGCAGAGAGUGUAGGGAAGAUUACUUUAAUUUCACCGGCCAUUUGAUAUAAGUUGAUUUACUACAUAAACGAGUAUCGAAAAAAACUAAAAAUUUUUAUUCCUAGAAAUUCAUAUACCCUAGAUCAUAUUUAACGGUGUGGGAUCGUUGAUGUUGACGCGUAAGAUCGGAAAACGAAACGACUAUUGAGUACCGGAGCUCGGUACUAUAGAUAGUAUAGGUAACCGAAUUAUAUUAUAGUAUAUAUAUAUAUAUCAUAGUAUAUGAUUUAUAUAGUAUUAUAUAUAGUAUAUAAUAUAUAUAUAUAAUAGGUAUAUAUUAUAUCAAUAUAGUCCGCUAUGGUGCGUUGUAAAAGCCCCAGCACUUGUGCUUGUAAGUUUCUUUACCGUUAAGAUCUACUUCUCGGAAUCAUUUUCAACCAUUAAAUUAAGAUUGAUACUAUUCAGCACACCCACUCUACUCAACCCUGGACGGGGGGCCCACAUCUCCUCACCGCAUAUGCUCUUAAAUCCAAUUGGAUAAAAAUCUACAACGACCAAUAACUUGGUACUUUAAAGUAUGGAGCUGCAUUUAGUAUACAUAUAUAGGUGCGGCUCUAUACUCUUGAAUGAGUAUAGAGCCUCUUGUACUAUAGUUUUUUUACCUUUUAUUUUUCUUUACUCCCUUUUUUUUUAAUUUUUUCCCAAUUUUUUACGUUUUAUAUUAUACUAUCAACCAAACUCACCAACUCAACCCUUAGGUCUCACUAUAUACUUAACCGAAUCACUCUCAUUCUAAUCUGCACAUUUUUUCAUCCUAACUUCCUAAAUUAUAUUAUUACAAUAUUAUCUCUAAUACUCAUAUAUUAUAUUAUCCCCAUCCUAAUAUAUUAUAUACAUAUAUAUAAUAUAUGUUAAUAGUAUUUAUAUAAUAUAUUAUUAUUAUAUAUAUAUGUAGUGUGGUGUGUGUUGUGAGUAUGUUGUGUGAGUAGGGUUAGGGUUGUGUUAUAUGGAAUUUUAUUAUUGUGUGUGUUUUGUUGUAAGGUGGGUCAUGCUGUCUUGUUCUGUCUGAGUAGGUUUGCUGAGGAGGUGCGUUUAAGUGUUGAUUCUUUUGUGGUUAUCUUAGAGUAUGCUUGUUGUGUGUGUGUGUUGUCUAGUGUGUUGAACGUGUGGACUGUGACUAACGGGUACCGCCAUGCUUCAGCCAGGGUGUGGGAGUACAUCUCGAGGUCCGCGAGUGAUCUCGUCGAGUUCAUGUUAUGUUGUGAGGCCCUCGCGGGGGCGGGUAGAGGUAGUUUUUUUAGGUGAUGGUGGUCUUGAGGACGGGGUGGUGUGAGGGGGUGGUGGGUGUUAGGUGAUAUUGUGGGGGGGUUAGUAUAUAUAUAUAUAUAAAAUCAAAAACACCACAUUAAAGAACUAUAUACAAUAAUCAAAAACACCACAUUAAAGAACUAAUAUAGUUUUCUUUUUAAAAAAUUUGGGAAAUUUCAAAUACCAUCCGUAAUUUUACAUUUACUCACUUUAGUAUCUUAUAAUUUACAGUAUAUCAAUUUAAUAUUCUGUGGUUUUAUUUUUCUCUUUUUAUUAUCAAUUUCACUAUUUUUUUUGUUAAAUGAGUGACAAAGUUAAAACUAAAAGGUACUAAAGUGAAUAUUCGAUAAAUUUAAGUGGAAUAUCUGAAGUUUUUUAUAUAUAAUUUGAUAAAAUAUUAACAAAUGAGCUGACGAAAAAAAAAAAAAUGAAACCACGGGACACUAACUUGAUACAUUUUAAACUAAAGGAUACUAAAAUAAGAAACUGCGAAACCAAAAGAGUGGAAUUUGAUGUUUACCCUAUGGAUGCGUUUGGUUCGCAUUAUAAAAGAUUACUAGGAAUGAAAAGAUGUCCGAGAAUUUUAUUCCUAUUCAUUCUAUUACUAAGAAUGUGAAAUUCCUGUAUUUGGUUCGCACGGUCAUAUUAUUUAGCCAUAUUAUUUAUGGUUACAAAAAAUAUACUAUUUAUUUAUUUAUUUAAUUAAUUAAUUUUAGAUAAUGCUAUCAAAAAUUUCAGCAUCUUUUUUUAAAAAAAUGAGAGAGAGUAUAGGUUAGAGAGAGCAUAAUUAAAAAAAUACAAAGAGAAAUAGAGUCGAAAUUAGAGGGAGUGAGAGAGUUGAGAUUUUAGAAAAAGAGGAAGAGAGAAAGCUUAGUUUAGAGAGAGAAAAAUAGUUGAAUUUUAGAGAGAAAGAUAAGUUUAGAGAGAGAUAUGAGAUUAGAGUGUAAAGAAAAAUAAUACCAAUUAGCCGGCGGAUAGGGAGAAAGAAAGAGAUUAGACAUAUUAUGAUUAUUUCAAUCCAUUAAUAUGAGGAUACCCAUCCUCUCUCAAAGGAAUGAGAUUAGUACUUUAGGAUGAAUUUUAUUCCCAAAUAAAUCUAAUAUUACCAAUUAGAUUACUUAGUACCUUUAGUCAAACACCGUCAUAUUUUUUUAUUUCUAUUGGAUUAUUAAAAAUCUUUAAAAGAUAGCGCGAACCAAACGCACUCUAUAAAUUUUGUAUGAGUUACGUUUGUAUAUACUAACUGAUAUUAAAUACUGUAUAUUAAAUACUGUAUAUAAUAGUUAGUUGUUGUUGUCUAAGUAAAGCGAUAAAGCAAUUUAAAAAAGAAAAAAACACCUUGGAAUCUACAAAUUUUAUUUGAAUUUUUAUAAAAAUAAUAUCAAAAACUGUCCUGAUUAUUAAUUAGAAAAAGGGCAUUGAAAAAAGUGGAUGGAUAUAUUAUUAUUUGAUUUUAAAUAUGAGUUUAUUACUGAUCUAAUGCUAGCUACCUUCCUAGCGAAAAAUUCUAGAAUGCAACGGGUAUAUUAGUGACGUGGCGUAACAAAUCAAUCAAAUUAAUUCUUUUAAGAAUAUAUGUCCCAUCAUGAUUGUAAAAAAAUAUUUUUAUUAUACUUUUGUUUGGAAAAAAAGAAUAUGGUUGACUUAUUAUUAAUGACGUUGUGCAAGUGUGAUAGUGUAGAAUUCCUCCUUCCAGGUUUACCGAAACUGAACAGAGCCGUGUCAUGGAGGGCAAGAAUAUUUUAUUGGAAAAAAUGUACAAUCUGCAAACGUCCGGACACAGCUGAUCCGUGCACAAAUGGGUCUGUGGUUUCGAGAAGCGAAAAACGUGGGGCGGGGAAAAGCACUCACAGGAAUAUACUGUUUGUCUACUCUGAAUAACAUUUUUCCAUUUUGGACUCUCAAUUAGCACGUAUCUAUUUACUAUAUACUAAAGUAAAAUUUUUUAAAUAAUACUAUCACGUGACUUUUUAUAUAUUUAUCAUAUAUCAAACUCAAAUAUAAAAUAGCAAUUUUAUUAGAAAAUACUAUUAAAUCAAAUUAAAUCAAAUUAUAGUAAUUAACAAAUUAUACCAAUUAAAUAUAAUCAUAUAUACAAUUAGGAAACACUAUUAAAUCAAAUUAAAUCAAAUUAUACCAAUUAAAUAUAAUUAUAUAGAGCAGGGCUGCUGUGCUCUUAGGAGCACAUAGGCCUCCGUGCUCCUGAGCUAUUUUCGAUGAUGAAAUUUUCGAAUCGACGAUCGGCUCCGUUAGACUUGAUCUAGCACAUUUGAAGUUUCUAGAAAAUAAUUUUUGCGAUUUUUUGAUAUCAUUUACCUAGUGAUCGAAAGGAUUCAAAAUCCAUAGUUUUUAAUGAUUGAUAUCUGCCGUUUUCAAGUUUAACGGUGUAGAAGUAUUCAAAUUAGAUGAAAUUUUGAUACAAAAUUCUUUAUACUAUCUACAACAAGAUCAAUAUUUCUGAUCGAAAAUUGUAGUGCUAUAUCACCACUUUUUAUAGGAUUUUUAUUUUCAGCCGUUAAAAAUUAUUGAUUUUGAAUCCUUUCGAUUGCAAGGUAAAUAAUAUCGAAAAAUCGCAAAAAUUAUUUUCUAGAAACUUCAAAUACACUAGAUCAAGUUUAACGGAGCCGGUCGUCGAUUCGGAAACUCCAUCAUCGAAAACGGCUCAGGAGCAUGGAGGCCUCCGUGCUUCUUAGAGCACAGCAGCCCUGCUCUAAUUAUAUAUACAAUUAGAAAACACUAUUAAAUCAAAUUAAAUCAAAUUAUAUCAAUUAAAUAUAAUUAUAUAUAUAAUUAGAAAAUACUAUUAAAUCAAAUUAAAUCAAAUUAUACCAAUUAAAUUAAGUGUCUAUUAAAAGAAUUACGAUUCUCAUCUCUUUUUAGAGGAUGCACUGUUUUUGGGAACCCAUUGUUGUGCCAUAAGUCAAGUUUUUGCUAUCUUCAACAAGAAGUACUGCAUGAAAUUUCUUUUCGAGUUUUUUUUCAUUGUUUCUUAAUAUUCUCUAUGUGCCAUGCACCUAAUUAUAAAUAUUGCAUAUCACUUCUCUACUAUCACUUUUUCUGUAAUUUUCACUUCGUUUUAAUAAUAUUCGGUACAUUUCAGUUAAGUGGCUAUUGAGCAGUUUUUCUUAAUUCUUAGAUGUUGAUGCUUGAAAAUAGAACAUAUUGUUUUCAUUUUAUUAUUUAAAUACGAAACAAGUAUUAAUUUUUUUUUUUUCUGGAUGUCUUAUUGUUCUCAGGAUAUGUCACUUGAGUUUGAUUUUAUAAGUGACAUCACUCCUCUUGGAGACAAAUGGAAGAUCAAAGUUAGAGUGAUUUGUCUGUAUACUAUGCCUGAAUUUCAUCGUCCAGUGAUGGUGAAUAGUCUAGACUUAGUUCUUUCUGAUCAAAAUGUAAGAUACGACUGUUAUUGAAGCAGGUACUUUCAUCUUCAUGCAACAAAGUUUUUUUUUCCUUCAUAUUUUCUUGAAGACCAACAUCUAUAUAUAUUUGAAUCUUGGAAGUUGGUAUGUCUCUCAUAUACGUAUGCUUACUCUAAUUUGUGUCAAACAUGAAAGUUUAGUUGAUCUGAUUAUAUGAUUAAAUAUUAAUGUCAUUUGUAAUUUUUCACAUCAAUUUGAGUUCUCAUUUUGUUUUGUACAUCAAUAUGAAAAUGUAAAUUAUUUUGUACACCAAUUCAUAGAUAAUAGAACAGGGUUGAAUUUUUUAUCUUUACCUGAGUAUUUAUUUUGAUCCAUAAUUUUGUUUUUCUAGCUUUUAUACUUUAAUAUGUACUAUAAUUAAGAUUGAUAGUAUAUUUCUUUAUUUGUUAAAAAAAUAUAAUAUUAAUUAUAAUGUUUUUCUUUUAUCAUCACAUAAUAACUUUUGUUAUUUUAUAUUAGGGUUAUUUGCAUACACGUCGCUGCAAACAUAGUAAAUUGUAGAAAUAUUCCUGCAAAACGAAAAUUUCAUAAGUUGUCCCUACAAAAAUCAUAAGUUAUGCAGAUUUGUCUCUGCUGUUAGAGUCUGUUAGAGAAAUUUAGUUAACCACAGUUAAACUACUUAACCACGACUAGUUAAUAGUGUGAAUUUACGGUUCUACCCUUCUUCCUCAUCGUUCUCUUCCUUUUCCCUCUUCUUCAUCGCCGGCGACGAGAUGCGGCGACGGCGGCGACGUCGGCGAACCCUCUCCCUCUUCCUCUUCCCUCUUCUUCUUCCUCUCCCUCUUCCUCUUUCCUCUUCCUUUUCCCCUUCCUUCUUCCUCUCCCUCUUCCUCUUCCCUCUUCUUCGUCGCCGGCGAGGGAGAAGAUGCGGCGGCGGCGGCGGCGGCGAACCCUCUCCCUCUUCCUCUUCCUCUUCCUCUCCCUCUUUCUCUUCGCCCUUCUUCUUCCUCUCCUUUUUUCUCUUCCCUCUUCCUCAUCGCCGGCGAGGGAGGAGGUGAUUCGGCGAAGGCUGUGGCGGGGGCAAACCCUCUCCCUCUUCCUCUUCCUCUUCCUCUUCCCUCUUCCUUUCCUUCUUCCUCUUCCCACUUCUUCUUCCUCUCCCUCUUUCUCUUCCUUCCUCUUUGUCGCUGGCGAACCCGACCCCGCGUCGCCGCCGUUGUCCGCUCUGACGGCCCGAAGAGGAAGAGAAAGAGAAGGGGAAGAGGAUACUUUUGGAGGGAUAUAUUUGUGAGGGCAAAACAGUCUUUCACAAGAAAACUAUUAAAAAAUAAACAGUUCACUAACGGAAUUUAACGAAAGGGACAUAUCUGCAUAACUUAGGACUUUUGCAGGGACAACUUAUGGAAUUUCUGUUUUGUAGAGAUAUUUCUGUAAUUCACUAUAUUUGCAGGGACAUGUAUGCAAAUAACCCUUUAUAUUAUUAUGUUAGUCGUGCAUCGCACGGGUCAAAUACUAGUGGAUUAUAAUUAUUAUAGCUUAUAUAUAGAAUUAUGCUCAUAUAUUAUCGAUAGUAUCAAUCGCUUGAUGUUAUCAAUUUUUCAACCGUUGAAUAAAAGAAUGUUCUGAUUAGGAUGAUAGUGGUCUCUUAGAGUUGAUUGGGUGGUUGGUUGAAUAGUAUAAUUUAACGGAUAAAAAUGACCAAAGAGUAGAUAUAGCGCCAGAAAACUCGAUAGUACCAAAAACUUUGUACUAUCGAUAGUAUAAUAGCCGGACUCUCUCUCUCUCUCUAUAUAUAGAGAGAAAGAGAGAGAGAAAGUUGAGUUGGAAUACUAUUAAUAGUAUUUUAGCUCUUUUGCUAUCAAUUUUCUAGCCGUUAGAUCUACACUUUAAUAAAUUCCACCCGUUAGAUCAUACUAUUCAACCAACCACCCAAUCAACCCUAGAACAUCACUAUCAUCCUAAGCCUAUAAUUAUUGAUCCAAGGUUAAAAACUAUAUAGUAAAAGAGCUCAAAUACAUUAAUAGUAUUCCAGUCCAAUUAUAUACAUAUCUAUAUAGAGCUAGUCUCCUAUACUAUCUAAAGUAGCGGAGCUUCAGUACUAUAGUCUCGUUUUCGAUCUUAGGGUGUUCAAAUCAACGAUCCACAUCGUUAAAACUGAUCUAGUGUAUUUAAAGUCUUUAGAAAUAAAAUUUUAUAUUUUUUCGACAUAGUUUACUUUAUGAUCAAACCAUUUCAAAAUUGUCAAUUUUCAAUGGCUAUUAUGGCGAGUUUGGAGUUUAACGGCAUAGAAGAAUCUAAAUUUCUUCAAAUUUUGAUAAAAAUACUUUAAACUAUCUAGAUUAAGGUUAACAUUCUUGAUCUUGAAUUUAAAAAUCCUAUACUCAAAUUUUAAAGAUUAUUCAAUUUUCGCUAUCCAUUUUGACAUAAUUUAUUUACUAAGUAAACGAUGUCGAAAAAAACUAAAAUUUUAUUUCUAAGAACUUCAUAUACUCUAGAUCAUAUUUAACAGUGUGGAUCAUUAAUUUGAACACCCAAAGAUCGAAAACAAGACUAUAGUACCGGAGCUCCGGUACUAUAGAUAGUAUAAUAGCCUAAUUCUAUAUAUAUAUAUAUAUAUAUAUAUAGAGAGAGAGAGAGAGAGAGAGAGAGAGAGAGUCCGGCUACUAUCGAUAUACUAUCGAUAGUACCAAAUUCUUAGUACUAUUGAGUUUUCUGCUGUUACAUCUACCUUUUGAUUAUUUCCAUCCGGUAAAUUAUACUAUUCAACCAACCAAUCACUCAACCUAGGGGACCACUAUCGAUAUUAUAGUAGUAUAAUUCUAUAUAUAAAUAUAUAUAGAGAGAGAGAAAGAGAGUUCGAUUAUAAUGCUUUUAAAAGCAGCAAGUACUUAGUACUUGUAAAUUUUCUACCAUUAAAUCUAUUCUUUUACCAUUUUCACCUGUUAGAUCAUACUAUUCAACCAACCACCCACUCAUCCCUAAAGGACCACUAUUAUCCUAACCGCACUUCCCUUCAUCCAAGGGCAGAAGAUGUAAUGGUACAAAGAGUUUGGUGUUAUUAAUAGUAUAGUAACCUAAUUCUAUAUAUAUAUAAAAAAUCAUAUGGAACAAUGACCCGAAAAUGUUAUUGAGUCAAGGCUCGCUAGCUCUACCAAUGAGUCAACCACUUGUUAAACCAAUGACAUCAUCAUGAUGUUAUAAAUAUUUUAAUAAUUAUUUUUAAUUUUGUUAUAUAUAAGAUAAUACAUAUAUUAUUAUUUUAGCUUCAUAAAAUAUUGAUUUCUAGACCAAAUUAAAUGGGUAUAAGUUUUUUAAUUUCAAUUUUUAUAAAACCUAUAUAUGCUAAAAGAAAAUGAAAUUAGUUAAGUUGAAUUUAAGCGGUUGGAUUUUAAUAUGACUUAAUUAAAAAAUUCUGGCCGGUUUAAUUAAAACCAAAUCCAUUCACAUGUAUCGUCUGUUCGAACAGUUCAAAGCAAUUUUUUUGGCUUAUAGAUUGGAUCAUAAUCAAACCGUUCGAACCAAUCAGUUCAACCUAAUUUUAAAUUAUCGGUAAAAAUAGUAGUAGCUGCCGACAGGAGAAGUUAUUAGAAUAAUACACAUCUAUUACACCAAAACUCUAUCUUUCUCUAACCUGUCGAUAUCAAAGUAUGAGGAAGUCCACUGUACAGCGGUUAAUUUCAUACAGAUCCCUACAAAUAUAGUAAAUUAUAAAUAUAUCUUUAUAAAAUUUAACUUUCAUAUGUUGUUCCUACAAAAGUCUUAAUAUUUUUAAAUAUAUCUCUCUGGUUCGUUACUGUUAAAGUACUAUCUAUUUUAUAAGUGAAAUGACCUUUUUGCUUUGCCAUUACAAAUAUAUCUCUCUAAAAGUUCCAACUGUUAAUUGAAAAGCGAUAAAAAAGAUCAAUUCACCUCAUUAACUAACUAAAGUUAAGUAUUUAAUCUAUAAUUAACUAAAAUUUUCUAACGUAUUCUAACAGCAAUGAAUAUAUUUUAAAAUAUCAAUAUUUUUACAAGAACAGUAUAUAAAACUUGAACUUUAUAAAAACAUAUUUAUAAUUUACGAUAUUUAUAGAGCGAUCUGUAUAUAAUUAUACCUACAAUUUAACUAGUCAGAGACACCGCAUUAUCACCCCUGUAUUUUGUAGGCUUUCUCUUUUUUUUUAGUGAGGUAUCGACAUCGCAAUGAGUGAUGCAGUGACGUAAUCACAACUUUUGCCACGUACCCAACACGGCGUUUUCUUUUUCUUUACUUUAUUUUUUUGUCGCUGCAGGAGGAUCUUGACGAGGUUCGUGAGGACUCGGAGGCCGCCAUUUGCGUUCGCUUCUAUUCAUUUAAAACUUAUUUAUUUAUUUAUUUAUUUAUUUUACUAUUCAGUCACCAUUAUUUUAAUUGGACUUUUGAGUCUUGCGUUUUUAUCUUUUCCUCUGCUUUAUUAAUUUGUCACCUCACUUAGCUUUUGCCGCUUUGUUUCGUUCUUUUAUUAGGCGAUCGGUCCGAUGGAGAUACGUCGUACGGUAGUGAUGCCAAAACGGAUAGAUUUUUUUAUCACACAGGUUGGAACUAAAACCGAAAAGAUUUAGUUCGUCGAUGCGAAAAUACCAAAAAAGAUUCGAAAAAGAGAAAAGAAAAAUAAAACACACAAUAUUUACGUGGUUCGGCCAACGGUCUAUGUCCACGAGCGAAGACGGAGCGGAAAUCUUCAUUAGAAUCAAAAUAGUGUACAAAAUACGCCUCUCUCAUAAAACCCUAAUUCCAAAAAAUACACCCAUAUUUUCUCUCUCAUCUUCCGCAAUAAAUCAACAGCAGAAAGAGUAUAUUUAUAAUAGUGACUAAAUCCUAAUACGAUUAGAAAUACAAAUCCACUAAAAUUAGAAAUAUCUCGAUAAAUUAGGCACAAUCUAAACUUAACUUAAUGGGAUAAUUGAAACAGAAUAGGGUUAGAAGACCUUGCGGUACUAGAAUUUGAGACAUAUUUAACAGCACAAAAAUUCGGUGGAGACUGUUCCUAAUAAUAGAGCAUGUCAACGAGCCGAACAGCAGAGAGCUGAAAAUAUAUCGUAUUCGACUCAUUUGUUAUAAUAAAUGAACUGAGCACGAUCUAAUUCAUUAAAAUAUAUCGUUAGUAAAUUCUAUUCUUAGUACAAUAGAAUUAGAUUAAAAAGACAUAUUUUUAAGAUAUUUUUGUGUAAGUAUUUUAUUUAUGUCAAAAAAUUUUAAAAAAAAUUUAUUAACGCCUAAAUAUAAAAUCCAAUCCAAUCAAAAAUAAAAAGUUACACUACUCAACCAACUCCACACAGCCCAUUCGGUCCAAUUACAAAUAAAAAAGAAAAAAAAAAUUGAUCAUCAUUUCCCGCUCUCCUCCUCAGCCGCAGCCGACGAGAUAGGACUCCGGCGGCUGGAGUUCAGCCGCAAGCAUCUCAUAUGCACCGUGAAAAAUUACGAUCGUCAAGUAUCCCUCCGCCACAUAUCGCUGGAAGAGUGGGUGCCAAUAUUAAAGCGGCCCUAUAUAUAGUGACCCUACAUAUAGCAACACUUAUAAAAAGUAUCGGUAAUUUAGCCAGCAGUAUUUUUUUUUAUCUGUACCGAUAUUUAAAAAUAUCGCUAUACACCAUUUUUAUUGUAGUGUCUGAUCGCCGACAUAUCAUAUUUAAUGGGUUUAAUAAACGAGUUAAAAUAUUCAAUUGAAAAAAUUCAGCUCUGAUUGCCCUACUACCGGGUUGAAAAGUUAGAAAAAAUAAUUUAAAAAAUUAGAUUCUUAAUCUAAUAAAUAAAAUUCACAAAAUAGAGGCGAUUUAUAUUUGGAUUAGCUUAAAAUUUAAAUAGUAAAUAAUUGUAAUAUAAAUGCACAUAUAAGUAAUCGUCUUUAUUGACUUUUGAUCUAACCACAAAAAGAGAAUUCACUGACUAAAAUUUAGAAGGACCUAUACCUUGGUGCCACAAAAGCAUUCGAGGUUAGCCAUAUAUGUAUAGGAUCCGGCUAGGAUGUUUCUAAUAGCACCAAACAUCUAGUGCUACUAAAUUUUUUACUGUUUAAUUUAUCUUUUUAAUUAUUUUUAUUCGUUAAAUUAUACUAUUGAACUAGCCACUGACUCAACUCUAGAGAACCGUUAUUAUUCUAAUCGUACAUCCCUUCAUCCAAGAGCCGAAUAUCUAAUAGCACCUAUGACUUGGUGCUAUUAGAAGCAUUCCAGUCUAAUUCUAUAUAUGUGUGUGUUUGCGCUCAUUCCAGUAUAUCGAGCCGAACACAAGUGAGCUAAUUAUAACUCGUGUUUAACUCGUUAAGAUUUCGAACUAAAAAUUUAGCUCGUAUUCAACGCAUUUAUUAAACAAUCGAUCAAUCUUGAGCUCAUUCCGAAUCGAGCAAGAGUUAGCUCAUGAAGACAAGCUCGAUUGACAACCCGGUUCCUAAAAUAGGACAGUUUCCUCUACCAUUCAUCACAUAAAUCGUCUCAAAUCUUAAUUAAAUAGUAAUAUUUUUGUUAGAGCCAAUAAUAAAAUGCCAAAUGGCAUAUUGGUGCACAGUUCAGCCAGAACCUUCAAAGAUCAAGAUUAAAUGGGUUUCGUGGUGCACCAGGAGUAAUGGCAGAUUAAUAGCAUAACCACAGGGUAUAACUGCAAGCGGUUAUGUGCAGUUUUGAUCGGCUUGUAAUGGCCCGCAAAAAUAGAAAAUUGACCGAUCAUGAAGCAAUAACUAAACAAUAAGGGUGGACUAUAAAUAGGCAAAUAAUGCCAAAAAAGGAGGUUUUUUUUUUUUAGAAUAGAAGACCAUUUUUAUUUCUCUACAUUUUCUUUACAUUUUCUAGGAAUAGUCUACUUGUAAUCUUUUCCUUUUUCGCAUCUACUGUUUUUCGUAGGAAUAGUUCUAAGUCAGAUUUUCGGAGUCUGUAUACCCUAAAGGCACACUCGCGUUUGUACAAAUUCAUAGAUUUAAUUUCAAUAUAUAAAGACAUUCGGCUCUUUCAACCGAUCAAUUACUAUGCAUUUCAUCCAUUCGGCUCAUUCAGCCGAACUUGUUCUACAGUAAGGAUUUUCGAACUCAGCUGAUCCGAUCGCAAAUCAGCAGAAUCGCCUGAUCCGUCGGAGGGCGCAAGCUUCGACCUCGAGGGUCAUCAUGUGAAGCCGGAUUUAAUUGUCGCACGUUUUCCUAGGAAGGCUUUUGACCAGGUCAACGACUGAGAAAUUCAGCUCAUAGCAAUUUUAAAAACUCAUAUCAAAUAGCGACUCGUAAAUAUUACUGGGUUAAGAGUCAAGGGCCGGUGACAUCGGCGUAACAUCAUAAAUAUUUAAUUUUAUUUUUAAUUUUAUUAUAUAGAAAAAUAUUCAUAGAUUAUUAUUCUAAUAUUGUACUUAAUUAAACAAAUACUAAUUUUUAUAACAAAUUUUGUAGCAUAAAUUUUUAAGUUUUAUUUUUUGUAAGACUAAUCUAUGCUAAUAGAAAGUAAGAUUAGCGAAGCAUAUUUUAAGCCGCUGAUUUUUAAUAUGACUUGAUACAAAAUCGAAUCUGGCCAUUUAAUUUUUUUAAAUGUUAAAUUAAACUAUUAAUAAAUAUUAGCUAUUAAAAUAGAUAUCUAAAAAAAUAUAUUUAUAUUUUAAUAUAUAAAAUAUGUUUUUACAUAGGUUUAGUUUUGGGUUCCGAUUUGGAUUCAGUACAACUAAAGAUAAAAAUUAUAACGCUUUAUUUUUUCCCAUAUUUGAAAUCAGAUUCGGAUUCAGUUAUAAUUUCGAACAUCCAUAUCCGUUAACAUCCGUAACUGUACAUAUUAUUGAAAUACUUUAUUUUCUUUUAAUAUUUUGACCUAGAAAUAGUUAAUAGUCACAAAGUUGAUUAAUUAGAAAACAUUAUCAUGAGGAAUUUUUUAUUUAUGUGGAACUUUUUUUUAUUGUACUAGUAAUGCUUAUGAAUACAACACGUAUAGAUCAUAAGUACAUCAAUAUGUAACGCAUUAGUAUAACUGCACAUCAUUAUUUUUUUUUAAGUCAUAUGGUGUAUAAAAAGCGUAUUAAUAGUGUGUAAAAUGUAAUAUGGUGUGUUAAAAAUGUAAAAUUUUCUGAUUUUAGCCAAAUAAAUUCGAGAGAUUUUGCCAAGUUAAUUUAAUAAUUUGGCCAAGUUUAAUAUUUUAAACUCAUAAAACUAUAAAAUAUUACAAAAAUUUUAACUUAGUUAACUAGAAAUGUAGAAGUCAAAAGAGGUGUAAAUACAGCCAGAAAAAAAAAAAAGAAAAAAAGAAAAAAAAAGAAAGAAAAGUUGAAGUGUCUAUCUCAGAAUCACCUAUAGCUUAGGGGGUCUCCAUAUAAUUUUACUUAACAAAUCUCAUUUUAUUAUUCGUUUGGUUCGGGUUAUAAGAACUAGUUAUUUUUGGGAUAGAUAUAAGUUCAGGUGUAAGCCGAAAAUAGAUCAAUUUUACAUUUGAAUGAAAAUUGAGUUAUUUCUGGGAAUAAAAAAAAAUAGCGUUUGAAUAAAUAAGAUAGAAUAAGAAGAAUAAUGAGCAGUUAUAAAUAGAAAAUAAACUCCUGUUGGCCACCUCGAUCCUUGGGGUCACUUUUUUCACCCCCAAUCCACUAGGAGUGCUGGGUGGCAGCCGGGGUGGGCUAUCUUUUGGGCUGUUUAGUGGGCCCCCACCGAGUAUCCGAGCCGGGCCCGCUUCGUUAUUUUUUUGUCAGGCCUUGAGAGCAAUCUUGAGUGCACCAUUGGCCCUUGAGUAGGGUUUCCUUUUCUCUUGUGACAGUUGGGCCUUUUCGGUCACACCUGCAGGGAAGGAUUCAACGGACGGGUGCCGCAUUACAGCAGAUUCUUAUUUUCUUCAGCAACUGCCACUCGGAGUUGUGGGAGCAGCCGCGACCAACUGCACUUUGCUCCCCUCUACUGAUCUGAUUGCUGGGGACUCGGUCUUUUCAGAUGCCUUCGGAUUUCAAUCGCCUUCCACCCCUGAUCUUCUGGUUAGCCCAAACUUUGAUCCGGUUCUGAGUGGGAUCCCAGCGUGUGUGUCUGAGCCGCAGAUACCGGGGGCAAUAGAGCCAGUGCCGUCAGGUAGUUCAAGAGCCUCUUCCCCAGCGAUGGUGCCAAGAACCUGUAAGCGACUCGCUGCAUACCGCAAGCGAUCAAUCCUACACAAGGCAAUGGAAAGGAAGAGCAUUCAGCGUGAGGGGGUUCAGGAGGUUGGGCGCAGAACUCCUGUGGAGAAGAUCACCUACAAGAGUCACCUCUGCGGGGUGGAUUUAGGAGAGAACGAGGCUAAGACCUUCUCCGCUUUUCUGAACGAAUGCAAAUAGGCAGGACGAGUAGGGUUUCUGUAGACUCUUUUUUUGGGUUUUGGUGGUGAGAGUCUAUCUGUUUUUUAUAUGUUUCGCGUCUGUAGCUGGAAUGUUAGGGGGCUCAACGACCCCUCUAAACGGUGUGCCGUUAGGGCCGUAGUGUCUAAACUUCAUAAUGCAGUAGUUUGUAUCCAGGAGUCGAAAGUUGAUCAUGUUUCGAGUUCCUUCCUUAGUAGUUUCGGGGGACCUUUGUUAAACAAAUGUGUUUUUCUUGAAGCCAACGGUGCCUCUGGGGGGAUUAUUACGAGUUGGAGUUCCCGUUUUUUCACUUGCUUGGAGGUCAUCGUAAGGACAUACUCCAUUACUACUCUGCUUUCCUCCACCACGGGCGGGUCUAAGUUUUUUCUCACGAACGUCUACGGACCCGCCUCUUGGGACGGCAAGGAAGAUUUCUUCGCCGAAUUGGUUCAGCUGAAAGAUCAUUGCGUGGGCAAGUGGAUCAUCUGCGGCGAUUUUAACUGUACGAGAGGUCAAGAGGAGCGAAGGGGAAAACUUUGGAGCACCAAAGCCACAAACUUAUUCAACGAGCUGAUCAGAGAGCUUGCCUUGAUUGACCCACCGAUGUCCAACCAAUCCUUCACUUGGUCCAACAUGCAAGCACUUCCAACGUGUACGCGGCUCGAUCGUUUCCUUGUCUCAACUGAAUGGGAUCAUGAGUUCCCCCUCUCCAGAGUUGAAGCACUUCCUCGAAUUACUUCAGACCAUUGCCCUAUCUUGCUAACUGUGGAAAAUUCUGCUAGGGUGAAUCACACGAUCUUCCGGUUCGAGGAGGCUUGGUUGAACCAUGAGGGUUUUACCUCUAAACUUCCGGAUUGGUGGAGGGAGGUUCCACUGAACACGCGGAAUACCCAGAAUAAAUCGGCAGUUUUAACCUUCACAGCGAAGCUGAGACACUGUCGCAUUAGGAUCAAGGAGUGGUGUGCUAAUGAAUUCUACAGUAUUAGAGGAGUUAAAAACCACCUAAUGGAAGAAAUACAGAAGAUUGAUAAAGCUGAGGAACUGGGUGAUUUUUCGAACAACUUAUGCUCUAUGAGAGCGGAACUUAAGGCUAAUCUAGGAAAAGUCUUGGACGACGAAGCUACACUUUGGAGAUCCCGGGCCAAACAGCACUGGCUGCGAGAGGGGGACAGUAAUACUAAGUUCUUCCACGCUGUAGCUAACGGCAGACGCAGAGCUAACUGGAUUGGCACGAUCGUCGAUAACGGUUCCACUUACCAAGCUGAAGAGGAUAAACGAAAUUAUUUUUACCAAUCCUUCAAGUCACUGUUCACUCCUAAGGUAUCGGCCCCACCUUCCUUUGGAAACUGGGACAGGUUAUUCCAAUCCGAUAGCAUUGCGACUCCUGAUUUAGCAAGGUUAUCCGAUCCCUUCAAUUUAGAGGAAAUCAAGAAAGCCGUUUUUCAACUGGGAAGCGACAAGGCGCCGGGACCGGAUGGUUUCCCUUUGAAGUUCUACCAAACGUUUUGGGACACUGUUAAGGAUGAUAUUUUGAGUAUCUUUCAGGAAAUGUACGAGGGAAGGCUCUCCACGGAUGCCAUCGACUACUCUUUCAUUUGCCUUAUUCCUAAGAACGAGGGGGCAGUGCGAGCAAAUGACUUUAGACCCAUAAGCUUGUUAAACGGGAUCCAAAAAAUUUUAUCUAAGGUUUUGACCAAUAGGCUAGACCAGGUUAUGAAGGAUCUGAUAUCCCCGUCUCAGUCUGCUUUCCUGAAAGGCAGGAACAUUACCGACGCUUUUGCAUCAGUUUCCGAACUUAUUGGAUGGGGUAGCAAAUUGUCCGUCGAAGGUGUCGGGAUAAAGGUUGAUUUUGAAAAGGCCUACGACAGGAUUUAUUGGCCAUUUCUUUUCCAAAUUCUACGGUGGUGGGGUUUCAAUGACAAGUGGUGUGAAUGGAUCGAAUCUUGCGUGUGCCACGCGAAAGUGGCAGUACUUGUUAACGGAGAGCCGACCAAAUGGAUAAAGACGAAGAGAGGCGUAAGACAAGGGGAUCCGAUUUCACCUUAUCUAUUCUUACUGGUGGCUGAGUGCCUGGCUCGUUUGACCAAUGAGGCGGCCUCUAACAGUCUCAUUAAAGGCCUCGGCCCGUCCGAGGGAUGUAGGGUCACUCUCACUCAAUUUGCGGACGAUACCUUUUUCUUCUGCGAAGCAAAAAGCAGGUACUUGAAAAAUCUCAGGUUUAUUUGGCGCCUCUUCGAGUGGGCCUCGGGAAUGAAAAUCAACAGGAAGAAGACGGAGCUUUACUAUCUGGGACAGGAGGUCGGUAAAGGAGCCAGAUUAGCAAACAUUUUGGAAUGCAGAGUGGGCACCCUCCCAACCAAUUAUUUGGGUCUACCGCUCUCUCCCAGAUCACCAUCCAAGGAGGCAUGGAUGGGGAUCAUACAAAAGAUACACCGCAGAAUAGAGGGCUGGCAGGCUAAACUACUAUCUAGGGGGGGUAGACUUAUCUUAGUUAACGCGGUACUAACCAACAUACCCCUAUACUCUCUUUCCGUGUUCAAGGCCCCCGCGUGGGUGAUUAAGCACAUCGAAGCCCUUAGAAGGGACUUCUUCUGGAAUGGUGGGCGCAGCACCCCGGGCAAAGGAUGCCUAGUGGCUUGGAAAAACGUUUGUAAGUCCAAAAAGGAAGGCGGGUUAGGUAUCUUGGAUGUUGCGACCAUGAAUCAAGCGUUAUUGACUAAAUGGUGGUGGAAAUUCCACAUUGCACCUGAACUACAGUGGAACAAGUUAAUCCGGGUUCUGUACUAUCGUAGAAGAAAACCACUGAGGGAAGGCAGAUACUUUAGACCUUUCUCUUGUUGGUGGAAAGGUAUCCUUACUUGCAGCACCAUCUUUAAAUGGGGUGCAACCUUUGAACUAGGAAACGGUAAAGCCAUCGACUUCUGGCAGGACAGGUGGUGUGGGGAGAAAACUUUGAACCUUCUGUUCCCAGAAGCUCAUCUCACAACUGAGGGGAAAAACUACAGAGUUAGCGACUAUUUCACGAGGGGUAGUUGGAAUUGGACCAAGAUACUGGGUGCCGAAGUGGGCCGUUUGCAAGGGCUGAUACCGAACCUCUCGGAGCUAGUGGAAAGGGUCUCCAACUUCUCUGUCGGACAUAGACCUGAUAAGAUCCUUUGGCGGUGGAGUUCAGACGGACAGUUUUCGGUCAAAUCGACUUAUUUGGCUUUGACGGACGGCGGGGUGAGAGACGCACGCGCCGCCACCAUCUGGAGUCUCAAAAUCCCCCUUAAAGUAAAAGUCUUUAUCUGGUUGGUCCUUAAGAAAAGAAUCCUGACACGCGAUAGACUUGCUAAGAGAUGGUGGAUCGAUGACCCCACCUGCGUGCUUUGCGGGUCGGACGAGGAAUCAGUGGACCAUCUGUUUACCCACUGUGUAUUCUGCAAAUUCAUCUUGGUGUUAGGGGACGACGAGAUCCAGGCCCAAGACCUGGGGGAUGAGGUGAAUCUUGUUUGGGAUAGGUGGACUGGCAAGAAAGACCCUCUUAAUAAGCGUACCAGACUUGCUGAACUAGCGGGAUGCUGGUGGGUGAUCUGGAAGGUCAGAAACGAUGUAAUAUUUCGGAAUAUUCCCCCUAACCCGGGGAUAGCGGUCCAUAGAUUCAAACUGCUUGUGAAGGAGUGGGAGCUUCUCCUCCGGUCAUAAUUUGUUUUUUUUUUUUUUUUUUUUCUCUCUCUGGGGCCGGGUUGCCUCACAUUUGUAGCUUAGUUCAUAUGAUCAAUGAAUGAAGCGGGUAGCAUGCUACCUCUUUCUCAAAAAAAAAAACAAACACAUCGACUACAUAGAUUAACAUUGUUUAAUUAGUUAUCAUGCCUUAAAGCAGACGCAAAUAAAAGAUCAACUAUACGGAGUUUUUACUACUAGUCUCGUAUGUAUUACUUCACUGGGGAUCAAUAAUCCAGUCCAAUGGAUCAUUUGUUUAUAGUCAGUUUUGCUAAAAAAAGACUUAGGUUUGUUAUCACAUAUAUAUAUAACUAGCAACUAACCCGUGCAAUGCACGGAUUUUAAAUUUAUCUUUUAAUUACAAUUUUUAUAUAAUAUAUAUUAAUUUUUACAUAUUAANUUAAAAUUUAAAUAUAUAUCUUUAAAAAUUAAAAAAAUUAAAAUAAAAUUUUAAAUUUUAAAUCUCAAAUUCAAAAAUUUAAAGUUCUAAAUUUUAAAUUUAAGAUUAAAUUUAAAUUUAAAAAUAUCAAAUAUCAAAUUUUAAAUUUCAAAAAUUAAAAAUAAUAAUUUAUAAUUUAUAAAUAUAUUAAUUAAGAUUAUAAAUUCUUUAAUUUAAAAAAUUAAAAUUUAAAAUUUAAAAUUUUAAUUAUAAAUUUAAAUUUAAAAAUUAAAUUGGGGUGGGAUUAGUUAACCCCACCUGGCCAAUUCCAGGGGGAGGUGGGGUUUGUUAACCACACCCCUAACGGGUUAUUCCGGAAUAACCCGUUAGGGAUGGGGUUAACAAAUUCCACUCAUUGAAAAAGGUGUUUGGGGAUUAAGAGGGGAAUAACUCCUUAAACCCCCUCCUGACCCUCAACCAAACACCACCUGAGUCCAAUUUUUACCACUCACAUGUAGGAAUGUUACUUUUUCACUGCAUGAGUGAUAAUUGUAAAGUGAUUGAGACACCAAAAAAAUAAUAAUAAUAAUAAUAAUAAUAAUGUUGGAGUUGUUUGUUUCAAACAAAAUGAUAAGAUCUGUUAUUAUCAGCCUCUUUUUGCAAAGUAAAAGAAGAGAUUGAUGAAAACCUUUUGAUGCAGACCCUUUUCACCUGCUUCUAAAAACUCCUGAUGAUGCACAGAUUGUUACGUGUAUUAUAUAUCGACAUGUAAGUACAUUAAUAAAAACUUCAAAUACCAUCUCUGUGAUUUUGCAUUUUCUCACUUUAGUAUCCUGUGGUUUAAAGUGUAUCGAUUUAGUACUCCGUGGUUUUAUUUUUUCUUUUUUAUUAUCUCCUUCACUAAUUUUUUUUUUAUUAAAUCAGUGACAAAGUUAAAACUAAAAGAGACUAAAGUAAAUAUUCGAUAAAUUUAGAUUGGGUAUGAAAAGUUUUUUUUGUAUAUAAUUUAACGAAAUAUUAACAGAGGAGUUGAUGAAAAGAAAAAAAUGAAAUCACAGGAUACUAAAUUGAUACACUUUAAAUCAUAUGGUACUAAAAUGAGAAAGUGCGAAACCACAGGUAUGGUAUUUGAAGUUUAUCCUAAAUUUUUAGUAGUAAAAAAAAAGAUAAGACAAGUGACAAAAUAUGAGCCACGGAAGGAUUAAGAUAUAAAAUUUAUAGGGAUGAAAAUGGUGUCGAUUUUUUGACGAAACCAUGUCCGCAUCUGUAUCUUUCUUCGGGUGCAAAAAUGUGUCGUAUGCCAAAUCUUCGAUACUAUAUCCGCUUAAAACGGAUUUGAAUUCAGAAUGAAUCGAAUUCGUAUUCAAAUACAAAUAUUAUUCCGAUAAUAAUAUAUACUAAUAAGCAUUUAUAAAUAUGAACUAAAAUUGGCAUAAAUAAAACACAUAAUUGCAUUAAAACUUUAUAUUUGUAUUCAAACUUCAUAUGCCUAUAUCUUAUUCAAUAAAUUAAAUAUUUUAAAAAAAUGUAAAUGUAUUUUUUAAUAUGAAGUUCAUUGUAAGGUAAAGGAAAAAUAAGAUAAAAAAUUACCUUAUUUUCCUACAAUAUAUAUUAACAUCUUUCUUAUCUUUUAAGAAUGAAAACGGUCAAAUAUGAUCAAAUUUUUUAGAAAAUCAUAUUUGAAUCAACUUUUAAAAUUUUUUUAAAUAUAAAUUUGAAUACGAAUAUGUAUCAGAUAUUAAGCUUUGAUAUUUAUAUACGCAUUCUAUCGAAUCUGAUGUGAAAUUUCAACCUGCUUCAUAGGUGAAUGGGGACAGGUUUUGUACUGCAGUGCAAUUUUGGGGUGCAAUUAAUUAUUCCGUACAUCGAGACAGAAUUGGUAAUUGGACAUGGCAAUUAUUCAUGACCUAGACUAUUAAAAGAAAAAUUACAGUUUAAAUAAAAAUUAUAUAUUUUUUGUCACAGCUAUAAAAUUGUAGUUCUCACCGUUCUGAUUUUUUGUAUAGUAAUAAGUGAGUGAUGUAAAAUCUAAAAGUCACCAUCAUUAAUAUUUUAUUAUUUUUGUCGCUUUGUUUUUGUAAUUGAUUACGAGAUGCUGAAAGGUUUGAGUUUUGACCAAAAGUAAAAUUACAAUAAAAUAAACAACAAAACUUAAUAUUUUACGUCUCUACUUCCGAUGAAAUAAAUACUCCUCAAGCUUAUUUGUUUCAACGAAGGUGAAAUUUAGCUGGAAAUAGACUUUCGAGUAAACUAGAUUUCAAGUAAAAAUUAGCUUUCUUCCACUAUUUGUAUGUAUAUUUGUGAAUCUAAAAUUUUUCCGAUUGUUCUACUAUGUAUUUAAAACAGAAAUAAAGCGUUAAAUGCAUUCAUGUCUCUGCAAAUAUAGUGAAUUGUAAAUAUGUCCCUACAAAAUUUAAUUUUUAUAUAUUUUUUCUGCAAAAAUUUAAUGUUUUUAAAUAUGUUCCUCUAGUUAUAGAACUGUUUAUAUUUUAAGUGAAAUGUCAAUUUUAUCAUCACAAAUAUAUCUCUCCAAAAACCACAACAGUGUAAUAAAUAAGAGGGGCAAAAAUGUAAAGUUAUCUCAUAAAUUAACCAGAGUUAAGAAUUUAACCUACGGUUAAUUAAAAUUUUCUAACCAAUUCUAACGGCAUGGACAUAUUUAAAAACAUUAGGAUUAGGAUUUUUAUAGGGACAACAUAUGAAAGUUGAAUUUUGUAUGGAUAUAAUUGUAAUUCACUAUAUUAGCAGAAACCUAUAUGAAAUUAACUCUAAAAUAAAUAACGAAAAAAAUGAAUAUACAAGAAAUAGGCUAAUAUUUUAUUAUUCUUUUCUUAUCUUUUCUUUCCGUAAUUGACUAUAGUAUUUUCAAAAGUUAUCAAAAUUAAAUUACGAUAAAUCAAACACGAACAUUCACAUUCACGGUCGAAAAUAACUUCACCCCUUUCUCGAUGACCGCGAUCCAAUUUUUCUCUCUUAAAAGUUUAAAUUCAAAUCUACAAUUGAAUUUAAUGUGCUCCAGAAGCACCAUCUAGAGGACAUGUAAAGGUGACUAACUUUCUAUACAAAGAAAAGAGUAAAACACCACGCCUUGAAUUUAUUAUAUUAUCUAUUAUUAUAUACUAAAGUGCGUGGAAUGGUUUUCUUUUAUUGAGAUGUAGCUCUACUAUUCAGUACAUCCGGUGCAUUGUAGACCAUGGAUUGUAGACAUAUAAAUGGUUUAUAUAUAUAUAUAUAUAUAUAUAUAGUNNNNNNNNNNNNNNNNNNNNNAGCUGGGCCCUCAAGUCACGGACCUCACUAGAUCCGGAAGUAGCGGAGGUCUCAACCUCCUCGGGGUGUGCCGCAUCAUCCGCCCCGGCAGACUGGGAGCGUGUAAUCGGCAUCGUCACUACAAAGCAUAAAAGCGCAAGUUAGUAACCCACGCUAUCGCAUCCCCGCUCAAAUAGAUAAAACCCCAAAUCAUGCGAAAGUAAGGAAGUGUCCUUCACUACUAACUUCCGAUGUUACGUUGUCGACCGCCAACGUAACCCUCCGCGAUGUUAGAAGCCAUACACUCCGAUCAAACUCUAACUUUCUAGAGUUGUCAUAAUACCCAAUCAUGAUACUUUCGCUCACAAGUCGAAUAGACCUCGUCUCUCACGAGCAUAUUUCCUAUAGUCCAACCGGCCUAAGGUUUGCUAGAUCCCCUAAGACUCAACCCUAGGCUCUGAUACCAAAUUAAUCUGUCACGCCCCGGGACCGGCGGAGGCCCUCCCGGUAGCGUGCCCGGACCCGCCAUAUGUCUACACAUAUAAGGCGUCUAGAAUAAAAGCGAAAGUAAAAGCAAGUAGUAGACAACUAGAAGAAGUGAAAUAACAAGCAACUAAUGAUAUCAGAGCGAAUAUAGUUCUAACAUCUACACCAAGGUAAAGAAGUAAAGCUGGUCAAUAAAAAGAGUCAUAAGAAGUACAAUAACUGUCACUAGUACAAAAAUGGUGGUCUCUAGUACACUGGUAAAACACUCAACCUCUUGCAAAAAUAGAACAAAAAUCGAGAGGUAGACCACCUAGCAACUCGUCCUCGAAGGAAGCUAGCUCGAAGCAACUCCCUUCCCGCGAUCCCUGGCCUCACCCUGAGUGGAAGGCUCUGUAAAACAUCGAGAAAAAGAGGGCGUGAGAACUAUAAUUUAUAGUUCCCAGUGGGCAAUUACUGACCUCAGCUCAAUGCACCACUAGGCCCCAAAGGAAAAGGGUAAGUACUAAAGCAAUAAUAAGAGUAAUAGCAACAACAAUACGAAAGCAUAAAUGAAGUGCUAAACCGCUAUAUCUCAAGUAAAACAUGAUGUCAUGGUGGUGUACAUCUACGCUGUCAUAAGAUAAUAUAUCCAAUGCAUACUGUUAUGUCUCGACAUGAUAAACAAGUAAACCUCACAAUGCAGUAUGUCGAUGCAUAAAGAGUAAACUCUAACCAAGCAACCGAGUAUACUACGAUACAAUAAUGAAACCGGCAAGUAUGCUAUAUGCACCAAUGCUAUAUCAUGAGCAUGUCAAAGUAAUCCAACUACUAAACCUAUCUAGUAGUGAUUAUUCAUUCUCAACCCUGUGUCGAAUUCUAUUUCCAAUUAAGGACCCACCCAAGGUGGCCCAGCUUGUGCCGCCUAAGUGCCCGUGGUAGCCCGACAUUCCUACUCUUGGAAUGUGUCUGUCCCACUCAACCCCGUAGGCUUCUCAAUACCGCACGAACGAACAUAGUCGCGUAGGCUAACUCCGGAGUGCCGGCUUGUAGGGAGCGACUCUCACAAGCAUGUGCGAAUGAGCACAAAUGGCAAGCAAGCAUAGUCCAAAUCUCAAAUGUCCAAUCCUCAUGUCUCUAACAUGGUAUGGUCACUAGCAUCACGAAGAUCUAGUUUAAGUCAAAAUGUGGAGUUUCAACAUUUGCUACGCCUAGUGCCCCUUGAUGACACUUAGGCAAUUUGAUGUUCAACAUGUAUUUCAAAUCCCUCAAUGGCCCUAUCCACUAGGUUCUCACAUAUCCCGAGCUCAAUGCCGCUUGAUGACAUUAGCUCUUUAAAUCACAUACGAUUCAAGUUUGGGGACCCAAAAUGGCCAAUGUUGUUAUCUUUCCUGUCUCAAUUAAACUUAGGUUUAAAUGCAAGAAUCAAAACUCAUUUACACUAUAAGCAACAUGGCCAACAUAAGAAUGCUAGAAAACCCCGCAUAAGCUUCAUAUGUACUUUUUUACUACAUAGAGGUCCAAAAUUUUACUACAUGUGACAUGGGUAUUUUAAGCAUUCCAAAAAUCAUAAUAAACGCAUGUGACAUGAUUAUGCAUGAUUUUCCAAUUUACAAAAUAUAAUUCACCAUAUAUGAGAAUUUCUCAUAUUAUAGGCUAGGUCAAACCCACCAAAAUCGAAACUCUCGAUCCGCCGAACGAAGGUUUCGGCAAGCUCCCAAGUACCCUAAGAGCAACAAAAACGGGGUUACCCAAACGAAACGAAGAGCGAAAAGCUCAAACAUUAAGCAUCUAGCAAAAUGGGCAAAACUCACCUCAAGAGAAGAAAUCUCUUCCUAUGCUCCAAAAGAGAGCUAGAACCCUUCCAUUCUAACCUAGGGGAAGGUUCUAAUCCAACCAAUUGAGCUUCAAAAGCCCUAAAACGAAAAUGCCCAAAAUAAACCCUAAAACACCAAAUCUAGGGUUUCAUCUCAAUGAAACCUUCAAAAACCAAAUCUAGAGGGAAGGAUCUUGUCUCUUACCUCUUAGAAGCUUCAAACCAAGCUCAAAGUUCCCAAACUUCAAGAAUAUUCCCUCAAUCAAGCUCCAAACCUAAGCUCCAAGCUUCAACAAUGGUGGAAAUAGCUCCAAAAUGCAAAAGAGAGGGAAAAAAUCCAUCAAAACCCAAGCAAAAAGGUGAUCAAAACCAAAGGGAGGAGAAGAGGUUCUCCUUACCUUGCUUCUCCACGGAUUCCAGCUCAGGGAGAGCUCCAUGGGGCGUGGGGACACAUAUAAGAGUCCACAAAUGCGAAAAACCCCCUGCAGUUUCGAACAGUUCAAAAAUCUGCACUGCGUACCGGUACACGGGCCCGCGUACCGGUACACAUCCCACGAAAAUGCCAAACCCGAGCCUCGGGUUGGCUGAAAGGCUGCCCGUGUACCGGUACACACUCCCGUACCGGUACAACCAUCAAGCCUGUACCGGUACAGCCAUCAAGCCUGUACCGGUACAGCCAUCAAGCCUGUACCGGUACACAGCCCAAUAAAGGCUACCCGAGAGCUAACAAAAAAUCCAACUUUUUGGAUGUUGGUACACCGCUUCAAACCACAAUUCUCGGGACUCGAACCAUGGGUCGGAACACUGUCUACGACCCUUCAGAAAGUCUGAGAUGGCUCGCCACACAGAUCAAACACUCGAACCUCGCAAUUUGCAAAGGUCCAGUGCGUCACAAUAGUAGCCCUACUCAUAUAUAUACCAUAUACUAUAUCUAUAGAGAGAGAGAGAGAGAGAGAGAGAGAGAGAGUUCGGCUAUUGUACUCUUAUGAGUACGAUCGCCUUCGUACUCAUAAGUUGUUUUCGAUGAUACAGCUUCCGAAUCGACGAUCCAUACCGUUAAACAUUAUCUAGAGCAUUUAAAACUUUUAGAAAUCAAAUUUUAUAAUUUUUCGAUAUCAUUUACCUUAUGAUCAAAAGCUCACAAAAUUGACAAUUUUUAACGACUGAUAUGAGAUAUUUACUAGUUUAACGGUGAAAAAAAUUGGAAUAAGUUGAAUUUUUGAUAGAAAAUUUUAUUCACUACAUAAAUAAAAAUCAAUAACUCUAAUCUUAAAUUGAAGGAUCCGAUCAUCUAUUUUUAAGAUGUCAUUCGAUUUUAAUCGUUCUUUUUAUACCCUCUUGAUGGACUUUAUAAUGAUUUUAAAAAAUUACAAAAUUUAUUUUCUAGAAGUUUCAAAUAAUCUAGAUCAUUUUUAACGGUGUGGAUCAUCAAUUCGAAAUGUCCAACAUCGAAAAUAACUUAUGAGGACGAAGGGCUCAAUACUCAUAAGAGUAUAGUAGCCCUACUCUAUAUAUAGAGAGAGAGAGAGAGAGUUGAGUUAGAAUACUCUCAAAAGCACUAAGGGUGUGGUACCUUUGAGUUUUUUACCAUUUGAUAGAGAGAUGUAGGGUUGAAAUGAUGGUGAUAAUGAUAGUGGUAAAUGAUGUCGAAAAAUUAUGAAAUUCGAUUUCUACAUAGUUCCAAUAACGUAGAUUAAGCCUAACAGAACAGAUCGUCAGAUCGAAUAUCCUAUCAUCAAAAACAACUUACAAGUAUCGAAACAUUCAUACUUUCAAAAGCACAUAGACCUAACGGGCUCUCUCUCUCUCUCUCUCUCUCUCUCUCUCUCUCUCUCUCUACUUCCGUAGUUUGUUUAAUAGGAACAGAAUUGGAAGCUUUUUUUCAUUUCCUAUUUUUGUUUCAUGUAAAUCGCUAGAUAUUAACCCCAAACCUGUUGGAAGUGAAAAUUCUCUACACCGACUAAAUUACUAUUUCUUUUUGUUGUUUCUCACCUGGCGUAAAUAACUUCUGGAAUACUUGGGCCUGUUUGUUUGCAAGAAAGUGAAGUGGAAGUGAAAGGGAGGAAGUGAUUUUCGGUGAAAACUGAUCACUUCCGUUGUUUGAUUCGUCGUAAAAAAAUUACAGUCGAAACUCCAGCUAACCUAAAAUGGUGUAAUUGACUUCGGCCCAUCGUAGACCGAAAUCAAUUACGGUGAAAAGAGAUAAAGAAAAAAUAAUAAAAUAAUAUAAUAAGUAAAGAUAUUUAUAUUUAAAUAUAUUUAAUUAUGGUACUAAUUAUUUUUUUAUUCAUUUGACAUAUUUAAAAUAUAAUAAAAAUUGAUUAGUUAAAUUUUAAUAUUUUUUUAAUUAGUUUGUACAAUUAAAAUAUAAUAAAAAUUGAUUAAUUAAAUAUUAAUAUUUUUUUACUUUAUAAUUUUAUUGUUGUAUUAUUAUAAUUUAAAUAAAAAAAUAAAUUUAGUUGUUUUAAAUUAAAUUUUAAUUAUAUACAAAUAUAAUUAUAUUAUUUUUAUUUAUUAAAUUAUUUAUUAUUAUAGGACAAUUUCAUCACUAGCCCUCUCAAAUAUGUAAAUAUCAUAAAUGCUCCUACAAAGUUGAAAAAAUCAUAUAUACCCCUUUAAAUGCAAAAAAAAUUCACAAGCACCCUUCCUUCCAACUGCCGUUACCAUAACCAUGAUUAAAAUUUGGUUAAGGGUUGAGUUAUAAAAUGACUAAUUUAGCCCUAAAAAGGUUAAGUAUUAUUUUGCCAGCAAAUAAUUAAGGGGCAAUUUCAUAAGUACCCUUCUAAAUUUUGAAAAUAACAUCUGUAGCACAAAUUAUUAGUGGGUAAAAAAAAAAGAAACUCCUCACCAAUAUAUCAUUUUGAACUAGAUCCCUUUAAAUUUUAUUUUUAACAUUAAGGGCCCUUGAACUACCAAUUUUUCUUUAUUUGGACUUUACUUAGUUAAAAGUUUUUCAAUUGAGAUCCCUCACAUGAAUUUGAUAAAAUUUUUAAUUUUGUUGGGAAAAAACACUCAAUUACUAAAAUUUAAAAAAAACACUUAGGUUGAGAGGGUAUAUAUAUAGAGAGUUUUGUUAUAAUACUAUCGGUAGUACAGCUUGAUUUACUACGAUUUGUUUUCAAUGAUAGAAUUUCCAAAUUGACAAUCGGCACCGUUAAACAUGAUAUAAACCAUUUAAACUAUCUGAAAGUUAAAUCUCACGCUUUUCCGAGUUAGGAUUAUGUCGAAGUGGACUAUAGAUGAGAGGGUUUUCAUAAAAUUUUACUUUAUUGUUAACAAUAAAUUUUCAAUUAAAAAUUUUUUGUUUGAGCAGAUCAUAUAAGUAAUACUCUAAUAUCAAGAAUUUUGAUAUCAAAAUAUUUUUAGCGUGAGAUAUGUGAGUUAUUUAAAUAAUAUUUUAAAAAUAAAUCUUUAAAUAAUUAAUGUUGAAUAUGGACAAUUAUAUUACAACUAUAUAUAAUUUAAAAGUAAAAAAUCAUAAUGAGAUUUAACUAUCACACUUAAUAGACUAUAGAUUUUUAAUUAUAAAAUUUAAAAAAAAUGUUAAAUUAUUAUGUGAUUCAAAAGUUAGAAAUUGAUCAUAUAAUUAAUCUUUAAAUAUUACAUGAUUAGAUUCGUGCUAGGGAUAAAAUUGGUAUUUAUAAAAUAUUGGAUGACUUCUUGACGAAAAGUUAAUCUAAAGGAUAUCUAUGAAUAUUUUUGGUUUAAAAAGGAGUAUUGAUGAUAUUUUGUAGUCUAGAGGGGUAUUGAUGAAAUUAUCCCUUAUUUAUAAGGGUAUUUAUGAAAAGUAAAAAUAUAUCCGUUGAGGUGGUACAGGAGUAGAAAUGAAAUUUACAACUUGUUUUGUUAGAUUCUCACAACACAUUAUGCAUAGGGGUAUUUAUAAAUUUUUUUUGAAUUUAAAAAGCCAUUCAUGAUAUUUUUAAUUUUAGAGGAGCAUUGAUGAAAUUUCAGCGUCCUAUAAGAAUAUCCAUGAAAUUUUAUCUAUGAAAUUUUAUCUAUGAAAUUUUCUCUAUUAUUUAUAUAUAAAUUAUAGUUUUAUAUCAUAUACUUCCUACCAAACAAACAACGGAACUAAUAAAACUUUAGUUUCAUAAUUACAAAACAAAUAGCGAAAAAGUAGUAGUUUUCACCGAACUCCACAUAAACCCAAAGCCCAAUUUCGGUGAAACAAAAAUGCCCUAAGCUAAACACCGAAAAAUGACUAUUUACAGCCAAAGAUGACUUCAUCCCUCCCACCUAGGGCAAACCAAACAUAAUACUCUAGUGGCAGAUGUCAUUCAAAAUGAAAACCUGAUGAAAUUGAGAUAACUUAGGACUGAUUCUAAUUACAUGUUACUGACAUAUUGAUCUAAUAGAUACGAUCGAUGUGAUCGGAAAUGACGGAAAACCAAUCGUAACACAACCAAAAACAUCGACCGUCCCUAGCGCAAGUGGCAAAAAGGUUUGAUGGUUGGUAUCAGAGACCCAAAUUUGAAUCCUAGUUGAUUCACAUUUCUAGCUAAGUUUAUUUCUAAAUGAAAUAAACGAAGCGGAUAGCAUACUAUCUUUUUCUCAAAAAAAAAAAAAAAAAAAAAAAAAAAAAAAACAACAACAACAACAACAAUAACAACAACAACAACGCAACCAAAAACCUGGAACUGAUAGUCUAUGAACUACAAGAAGUUUGGAGGGAGUGUGACCUCUCUUUAUUCUUGAAGGUAAAUGAACCAUCAAAUUCAUGAGGUACACAAUUAUUACAACUGAUAGUACUACUUUUCGUCUUGUUCACAUUUAAAAAGCACUUUUUUCAUGCAAUGCUCAUAUUUUCCAAACUUAGAACGUAGUAUUUCAACUCUUUCACAUUUAUUAUCAAAGGAGCUCACACUGCAUCAAGUACUUGUCUAAAAUCAUACAAUAGCACAAGCCAUUACCAAACGAAAUGCUAUGUCAGAUAUGCAUCUAAAGCUUGGGAUGUGCAACCUAAGGUUUGCGGCAUUUUGUUACAUGAGUAAUGCUAUCUGUACACCCAAAAGUAGAUAAAAAUCUUCCGGCCCACCCAUCCAAAGGUUAAUUUUACCACACUAGUCUUCUCACAACUUUUUUUUUAGUACUAAAAAUCCAAAAGAGUUGUCAGUUGUUUCGAUCAUCAGAUGAAGAGGGUGUAAGAUAUAUGCCGGCCCACUUUUGGAUGUGCGGAGAGCAUUUCUCUUGCUAUAUAUGGUCUCAAUACUUGGCCAUGCAAAAGUUAAUUGCAAAUGCAAUGGCAAAGGAAGAAAAGCUAACUACAAAUAAAUGAGAAAAGCAACCAUGUGUACCAGAAACAACAAAGGUUGAAACAAAGGAGCCGCAAAUGUAUCCCUGUGAAAUUUCAAAAAUACCUCUGUAGUCCUCCAAAGCUGAUUAAUAGCAUAUUUCUCCUCAAAAUAGAUUCCAACUGCGAAAUAUAAAAAUUUAAAUAUGCAGGUCGAAGUUAAUUUGGGGGUGAAAUCAAAUAGAAAAGAGGCUUCAGGGUUUUCGGUUCUGAUAACACGAGAUGUAUUAGGAGCAACUCAAGGCUAUCUAAGACUUCCAAACUAAGCAGGCAAAUUUCUGGUAAACCACAUGUGCAAACUAGUACAUUCAAAAAGGCCGGAUUGAUCUCAACUAGUAGUGGUGAUCCAAUGGGUCAGCUGAAAGACGGAAUGAUCACUAUGCUCAGUUAAAGCAAUAUUGGAGAUGCCACCUCCGAGUAAUUUGGAGGUGUUAAGGUCUCAUCAAGGUCACUAGGACUAAUAUCAGAAGAUUCAUAUCAAAUAUUUCUAGUUGUCUUCACACUUUUUCCAGACUUACGAAGAAAGGGGUGGAGAUCGCAUGGGAUGAAUCCUGCCAGAAUGCACUCAAUAGCAUCCGACAAUAUCUGCUAAACCCACCUGUGCCGGCUGGCACCAAUUAAAGGAAGGCCACUUAUUUUGUACACUGCUGCUAUCACUUAAAGCCCUCUUGGCCCAACAGCAUGAAAGAAGGCGAGAUCACCCAAUGUGCAGGAAAUUUUUUGCAUACAGGGACUGCAGGAAACCUACACCCCUGUUUGAUGCAGUUAUUAAUCUGAAGAAUUUUGUCAAUCGGAUAUCUUAAGAGCAUGAUCAACCAGUUAAAUAACCAUGAUUCAGAUUCCAUUUUUAGUCAGAACUUGCAUCUUAACUUUUGCGUUAUUUUUCAGCUUACCUAAUUUUUGCACUAAUUCAUGUCCUAGUGUUGAGAAUAAUUAGGGUUAAUAUAAGCUGCAGUAAACAGGCUCUAUAUGCAAAGAAAACAAACUCUGAUAUAGCAUUUCAAAUCCUAGAAUAGUAUGCACUUCGAAGGCCCAGAGAGAAAUAUUAAUAUAAGCAUAUGGUGCACAUCAAACAUAACUACUCGAGGAAGUUUUAGAUAUUGUACAUACAAAGAACAAGGUAAUUCAAAAGCUGAUUUUCAUAAAAUAUUUAAAAAGAAAGCGGAACUAGAGCACGGCAACACAAAAUUUACUGACCCAAAAGAGUUUACACAGCUUUAGGGAUGGCAACAGCUUCUGGCGCUGGCAGGGUUACUGAUCUCAGCAGUUCCAACGAGCAAACAAGCCCCAGAAAAUGCGAAAGGAUGGUAUUGGCUGAAGCCUGAUAACAAUUAAAGCAAGUUAGAGAACUACUUUCCAACAGUUGUCAUAAUUAAAAGAUACUAAAGUUUCAGAGAUCUAGUCAUAGCAAAAGCUGAGACUACAGUUUCCAAGAACUAUUUUUAUGGAAGAAAUUAACCAUUUGAUAUCUAUGAAACAACCAAUUAUAAUAUAUUAGAAAAUAGCAUUUUCAUAUUUUAUAUUUAACACUCCCCCCUCACAAUUGGGCUCAAGACAUGGAGUAGAAUUUAAUGGGAGAAAAUUCGAUGAACUAGUAGCCUAGUUGAUUAAAACUUAGGAACUCCUGCUUUGAUACCAAUAUACCAUGUGAAAUAAUUAAUUACUCAAAAAGCAUAAGCUGCCAGGGAAGAAUGGUUCAACAUUUUCUAUUCAACAGAUACUUCUUCCAAAAGCUCUAAUUGUUGAGAUGAUAACUGCGCAAAGUCUUAUAUAUGAAUAGGAAGGAAAAAAAAACAUAUGAUUGAUUAAUCAAACGCGAUCUUUGUAUAGCAUGCAAAGAACAAUUAAGUAGGAUAUUCUAGAAAAAGGAAAAUAUCUCUGUGAAGGGUAGAAAGAACGUAACAAACAUUGAAUACAACAGCCAAUAUUGAAAUUCAAAAUGCAUGAAUUUAAUCAAAUAACAAUAAAGAGCUAGAAGUAGACGCAACUGGUUAUAAAGAAUGUCUCAUAACUAGUACUUUCUAUUAGAUUUCAAACAACUUACCAUGCAUUUUUUUUCAUGUCAAUGGUGAAAGCAGUAGAAUUUAUUUAUCAAGAUAAAUAUUUCAUACUUUAUUAAUGAAGACUAUAAGCUGCAAGCUAAGUAACACAUUUAAAGCUGCAGAUUUAGUACCAAACAACCAGAAAUUUCAAGAUCUAAGAAACAAUGAACACGAUGUUCGUGAUAAGCUGGAGACAAAUGCUGCUGCACUUCGUAGAGGAGAAGAAAUCUGAUUUAAGAAUUAUUUAUCUUUGUAUAUUUACCACAAACACAAAACGAAAAAGAAAAAAAAAACACCUGCAGCUGAGCUCAUUAUAGCUAUAUGUUACUCCUACCAAAGAAAACAGAAAUUAAUAUCUAUUGUUGGGUGGAGAGAGGAGUAAAAAAAGGCAAAUGUAUUACCAAGAAAAUGCCAAGGAAAAAUGAGAGAAAAUGACUUUAUAAUCAAGUACAGGAUUAUUAUAUACCUGUACUAAGAAAACAUCUAACGCCAACACAGGACUCCGACCAGGGGGUAUCCCCUGAUAGUAUGGAACUGCUGAGGUAGUAAGGGCUUUUGCAACCAAUAACCCAACGGUUGCUUGCAUGCCAAGAACUGCAGCGCCCAUUCCGAGAAGAUUAACCACUAUACCAUUCUUCAGACUUUUAACCACAUCAGCACGUGGAGGGGCCUAGAAAACAAAAGAAGUGUAUAAAAAUUCUGAAGUUAAAUGAAGCACCAACAAAAGAAUCUAACUGACUGUUGUUUUUAAUCCUAUGGUGUUAGAAAUAAACUAAAAUUAAUUUUCCACCAAUGUAUUAGGAGACUUGUAUGAUCUCCCUGAUCAUACCUCUCCAAAGCUAUUUGUGGCACUCUUAGUUUUUACCCCUUCGAAUUUAUAGAGAAGGUUCUGCCUCACACUUUUGUUAUGUGACACAAUAGUAAUAUAAACACAAAACAAUCAUAGAGGUUAGCAUUGCAAGAAAGUUUGUCGAGGUCAAUGAAGACUUAAGCACCAGGAUAAAAGAAUAGAAAAUAUUGAUAUGAAACUCUCAAUCAAGCAUUCUUUCUUUUUGAAGAAAAAAAUUUUAUCUUCGCGAAAGGUGACAAACAAAAAGCUACACAAACUGCUAACUAAUUUUGUAGGAUAACAUUUUGGUAUUUUAGAAAUUUUGUAGGAUAACAUUUUGGUACUUUAGAAAUUAACAUUUUGUAGGAUACACAAGUACUUUGGAGUUUCAUACAAGCAGAAGCUACAGGGCACGCAAAAGAAGUGUCAUUUUUGAAAUGCAAGGAAUGAGAUGGCUUCCAAAAUCCUAAACCCUACAGGACGGUAUAUUAUUUCUCUGUAAUUAUAACCUAUCAUUUGUGUAAUAACUGAUGUAGAAUGACUAUGCACUUAUAUAUGUUCAUUUAUACAAGUAGUUGACAUCUGAAACAGGAUAUCAAAUGAGAUUUCGGCAACAGAUAACAAAUUACUCACUAUUUACUAUUAGUGCUUGAAUAUUUAUUCAAAUUUUCCAAUUCAGCAACCAUGUCAAACAGCAUAACAUUGACAGCCAGAAAAUGCAAGGUUAGAGAGAGAUAGAGAGAGAGAGAGAGAGAGAGAGUACCUUGGCAGGCUCAUUGGCCGUUCUUUUAAGCCUUUCAGAGAGACGGAUGUAACCAAACGACCAGAAGACUGACACAAAUGCAGCAGCAAUACUGCCAGCAGUGGUGUAAAAUGUGAUUGGUGAUGUGACCUUGCCAGUAACAAGUGUAGAGAACGAUAAUAUCACAGCAGAUACAACUGUGCACACCAGCUGUCCCCAGAACCCAAGGCUACCCAACCGUUUAAAGUAUCGGGAUGUAUUCUCUAGUCUUUUCGAAACCUACUAAUUAAGUCAAAAAGUUUAUAUGAAAAGUGACAGAAGGUUUGUGCAAAUAAAAUAUGAACAGAAGUUUUGUAUGAUAAGAUGCAGGUUAAGCUACUCAAACAAACUGCAGCACUGAAGACUAAAACUUAUAAUGAUAGUUUUACAUAGUUUUGUCAAUAUUUAUCCCUGAAAUCUUUCAAUUUGCAUUUUUAUACAUCAGUUCCACAAAUUUGCAUAUUCAUCGAUCCAUGACUUCCUCAAAUAUUUUCUCUUUGCGUUAUUGUAAUUAGAAUUCAGUAUUCUUCUUAGAUGCCAGUCUAAGAAAAAGCAACAUAACUAAUGACUAAAACUGCCUUAUCUUCUUCCACCAUCUGUUCCCUAGUGUUUACUAGUCAACUCGUCUUUAUAAAAGGUGUCGGGUGACAAAUUCGUUGAACUUUCCAGGUACAUCCAGACUGAAAAUCCUUUAUAACACAACAAAGAUAUAGGCUUUUUUUCUGCUCAAUUUUGAAGGCACUUGGAAUAGGCUUCUCUAUUCUUGUUAUUGUUCGUUUGCAAACUCAUCUUUAUGAAAUAGCUAGGAAAUAAAGAGAAUAAAUAAUAUAUCUUCAUUUUGUUGUCAAACACAAUCCAUAAGAAUAGAGACCGUAAAAAACUCACAAUAGCAAUAUUAGAUAAGGCCAUCCCUAUGUUCCCUCAGCCAUGUAGAACUUGAUAAAGAAACAAACAAUGCCCAAUGAACGGUAAGACUCUUCUUUGUUUAACACCUCAAAGUUCAUCCUACAACUAACCAAUAAGUUACAGACAUAUGUAAAUGUCAUUUUGACCGAUGAAGACUAAUAGAGAAAGAUAUAUAACAUUGUUAGAUAUAGAAUCAAGACUUGUUUCCUCAAUGGAUUAAAUGUAUGUUUAUCCUAAUAUACUUCUCAAAAGGCUAAAACACAAGGAAGUCCCCUGUAUUCAUCGCAAUUUGCACUUUACGCCCACCCACUCCCCUCAAUAAUCAAAACCUAAACAUUGUUGCUCGAUAUACUAAAACCAUCCUGCAUUUUACAACAAACCCCACCCCCUUAACCACCCAACACGCAGAACAGGGCGAAGUACUACAACUAUAUGAAUCUUGGGGCCAUCAAUAGGUUUAGAUGAGUAACCAUACUUACGCAUUAUAGAACAGUUUACUAAUCUGCUAAACUGUCAGUCUUCAAUUGGGUAGUUGGUACAAUUCACAAGGAGGAUGGUAUAUUUCAGGCAUCGAGUUGUAAUUACAAAACCCAAAUGAAAAUAAAAAUCUACCACAUGUUGUACAACCUUUUAAGUGGGGAAAGUUUUCUGGUUUCCAUUAUCGAGUGGGUAAAGGGCAAAUCAGGAUACAUCCAAAAGUAGGUUUUCUGCAUGUUAGCAAAAAAUUUCAGCAAACAGUAGAUCCUUCGAAAGCACUACGCAUUCAUCUCAUCUGUACUCGAUCUCUCAUUCAUCUCAAAACCCUUUGAAUUGUAUUCCAAAAUCCCUUUCGAAGAAACCCAACUCAAAUUAAACCUAACAACGCCUCCCAAAUUUACUCCAUUCCACCUCCCCAUUCAAUUCACCACAUAAGAAUAGACUUUUAUUGCCAAAAACAACAAGAAAAAUCCACAAUCACAAGAACAGAUACCGAGAGAGAGAGAGAGAGACCUGCGCAAACUUUGCCAUCUCGAAUUUUACAAAAAAUCAUCAGUGAUCGAUCCCUUACUCAUUCACCUAAAAACCCUCAAUCAACUCAAACAAAACCAAAUCCAUUCUCCACGCAACGCACCAAAUCAGAUUAGAGACGUUCGUAACAAAAACAACAACAAAACAGAUGCCAAGAAAGAGAGCGACCUGCGCGAGUUUAGCCCUCUCCGAUUCGUCGUCGGCGGCGGGCGAACUCGCCGCGGCGGCAUGCGGGGGCGUCCGAUUCCAACUCCUGCUGCGAUUCCGAUUCCUAGCAGUGAUUAGGGCGAGGAGCUGGGAUGGUGAGGGAGAAGGGGGGAAGUGGGAGAGAGCGGUGGCGGUGGCGGUGGCGGUGGGGGAGGUAGUGCUUGGGAUUAGGGUUAGGGUUAGGGUUAGGGUCAGGGUUUUGCGGCCGCGGCGGGGGAGAGGAGGGUGAAACGCGGCGGCGGAGCGCGGCUGCAGAAGCAGCAGCGCCUGCAUUGUAGCGGUGGUGGUGGUGGCUUCGUUUCCCCCGUAGCCAAGGUAGAGAAAGAAGGGGGCUGGAGAGGGUGAAAUGUAUGGAUAGUCCUUGUACAAUCCCAAUAUUGUAACUUGAUCCCCGUUGUUUUAAAAUGUAGGAUCAGGAAUUUAAGUGCCGAGACGUGGGAUCAUGCAGGAAAUUUGCCGGUACGGUACUAUACUAUGCGUGCCGAGCCGUGUCGAUACAUGCCGGUCAAAAAAUUCUUAUAUACCGACACAUAAUAGUAUGAAAUAUUUAUUUUUUUUAGCAACAAAAUAUUCUAACUAUUUAUUAUAUCUUUUUAUUACAUCUUUUAAACUUUAUUGAGAAAAUUACUUACUAAUUUAAAGAAUAAAGAGUUUUGAACUGUGCCAUCGGUACAGGGUCUGUAUCGUGCCGGUAUCUUGUUAGCACGGUACAGUACGGUGGAUACGGCCCGUGCCAACGGGCACUUAAAACCUUGUGUAGGAUAAACUUCAGAUAUCACCCAUGUGGUUUCGCUUUUUCUCACUUUAGUGUCCUGUGGUUUAAAGUGUAUCAAGUUAGUGUCCUGUGAUUUUAUUUUUAUCUUUUUGACAGCUUCUCCGUUAAUAUUUCGUUAAAUUAUAUAUAAAAAACUUCAUAUACUCCUCCUUGGUUUAUCGAAUAUUCACAUUAAUACCAUUUAGUUUUAACUUUGUCACGGACUUAACGAAAAAAAUUAGUGAAAUCUAUAAUAAAAAGAUAAAGGUGAAAUCAUUGGACACUAAAUUGAUACACUUUAAAUAACAGGGUACUAAAGUGAAAAGUGUAAAACCAUAAGGGUGGUAUUUGAAGUUUUUUCUAAAUUGUAUAAAAUUUAACUCCACUAUCACAUUUUUGGAUCCUGCUAGGGUGGCAAUCCAGCUCACUGUUCGUGAGCCCGUUCGUGUUUGGCUCGAAAUGAGCUCGAGAUUAAAUCGCUCGUUUAGUAAACAAACCGAGCACGAGCUGAAAGAACACGAGCUAGGGUCAGCUCGCUCGUGUUCAGCUCGAUAACUGCUCAAAUACAUAUAUUUUAUAUUUAUAUUAUAUAUAUAAAUAAAUGAUUAUAUAUAUAAUAUAUAUCUAUAUCUAUAUCUAUAUCUAUACUACAUAUAAAAGCGUGAGUUUUACAUUUUUUCCUCUUUCCAAAAAUACCUCUAUCUUUUCUACUAAUAUUUUCGUGUCCAGUAAUUUUCAACCAUUCGUUUCAAAUAAUUUUUCGAAUAAUAAAUUAUUCUUAAACAUAGAUCUUAAGUUUUUAUCAUUGGAUCUCAUCCAACGAUUAAAAAUAAAAGUAUCUGUCACUUUUCUUGACAAAAAUACCCUCAAUAUCCAUUAACUCCUAUCUACGCGUUUUACAAAUAUCUACGCAUUUUCUCAAACGUAAUUUUCGUCAUAACUUAAACAUUAUAUCCUAUUUACGGCGUUUCUAAAAUAUUUUAUUUCUCACACGUAAUAGCACCAAUCACAUAAUAAAUAAAAUAAAAUUAAAUAAAUUUAUCCUAUCUACACGUUUUCUCAAACGCGCCAUAAAUUAAAAUAUCCGUAAUCUCCUAUUUACGUGUUUCUCGAAUAUUUUCUUUCUCACACGUAAUAUCAGCGUCAAUCACGUAGAAUGUUCAUAGAAAGAUUUAAUACCCAUCUAAGCAAAACUAAAUUGUUAAUUAAAUAUAAUUUUACAUUUUUGAAUUUUUUUAGUAAAAUAUUCAAAAGCAAUACCCGUCAAAAUAUUUUACACGUUUCUCGAAUACAAAGCAUAUCUUAAUAUACUCGCAUAUAUAUCUAAAUAUCUUUACAUAUAAUACGUACACUAUCUAAUCUUAUCUUUGUAUAUAAUAUCUAUACUAUCCAACUUAUCUUUGCAUAUAAUUAAUAUCUACACUAUCCAAUCUUAUCUUGUCAUAAUAUUUAUUCACACACAGAAUAUAUUUUUUUUGAGACAUAUUUUUUUAGUAAUAUAUUUUUUAUUUUCACCUAUACUUUUCUCAAAUAUUUUUUUUAGUAAUAUCCUUUCUCAUAUGUCCUUAUGGUUAACACCAGUACAUCGUAGUACAUCAUCAUCAUCGACACCUGCAUAUUGUAACUUUCGCCACCUUCGUCAUAGUUGGAGAGGUAUUUUGAUCUCACCUGAAAAUAUUUUAUUUUUUUAAUGUGUAUUUAUACUAUUUUAGCAUAUUUUUUUGGUAUUUUCACAUUCUUACGUAUACUUUUAUCAAAUAUAAAGUAUACAUUUUUUUAAUAAUAUCCUUUUUCAUUUUCACCUACAUUUUUCUUACAUAUUCUUAAAUAUUUUUUUUAGUUAAUCCUUUCUCAUUUAUCAUCAUUGCCGGCACCAGCACAUGGUCAUCGUCCUCCUCAUCGUCAUCGUCAUCACCGGUGCCGGCACAUUGUCGCCUUCGUCACCUUCGCCGCAGUUAUUUUGAUCCCACCUAAAUUUUUUUUAUACUGUUAUAGCAUAUUUUUUUUAGUAUUUUCUUAUUUUUACUUAUACGUUUCUCAAAUAUAAAGUAUAUUUUUUUUUAGCAAUAUCAUUUUAAAUAUUUUUUUUGUGACAUAACUGUCAAUCUUUUCUCACAUAAUGCAUACGUUUUCUCAAAUAUUACAAAAUAUAUAUGAAAAAUACUUAUAGUAUAAAUUAAUUAAAAUUAUAUAAAACUUAUUUAGAGAUAAAUUAAAGUUAGAAAAAAAUAAUUAAAUAAUAGACAUACACCACCAAUAACGAUUUAAAAUUUAAAAUGUAAAUAUAAAUUUAAUUUAAAAUUAGAUGUGGCAUUUUAAAUUAAAAAUAAAUCAAAUUUUUGAUUCUUUUACAUUAAAAUAUAUAUCAAAUCUUCUAAAUUUUCUUUCUGACGAGAAUGCACGUUACCUAUACAUUUGUCACUGCCUUCUCAAGUGUUUUUUUUAAUUUCUUCCACACCUCCUCUAUUAUGGUUCGCGCCGGCACAUCGUUGUCAUCACCUUCACCAACACAUCUUUAUCCUCCUCGCCGGCACAACUUCAUUGUCACCUUUGCUAGCAUGACGUCGUCGUCCUCACAUUGCAUGUAUAUCGACAGAAGUCCACGAAUCAUAUCGGCGUUGUUGAUGGUCUACCGACAUGUCAUCGGUAGUCGAGAUACAUGCGUAUGCGCAUUAUCGGUGGUCCACAAUCUGUAGGAUAGAUUCAAAAUUCACCCAAAAUUAUAUUAAUAUUUUUACGAUUUUCUUCAAAUCAAUUUGUAUAUAUAUAUAUAUUUUUUAGGGUAUGAAAAAUGUUAAAAUAUUUGUUCAAAUAAGCUCAAUUAAUUUGAACAGUAAUAAUUAUAGAAUAGUAGUACAAUCCGUCUAUAUUUCAAUUUCAUUAAUAACUUAAAAUUAAUAUAUAUUUUAGAAAAAAAUUAUAUUUGAUUUUUUCAAAUAAGUCUUACGUGCAUUGCACGUGUAUAUGACUAGUAUAAUAUAAAUCUUUGUUAUUUGAUUUUUAGCCCAAUCUAAAUAUAAGACCAACUCAAUUAUAAAAUUAUGUAAAAUUUCAACCAUUAGAUCAAAAGUAUAACGGGUGAGAUCUUAUAAAUUUAUUUUCUAUAUUUAUUCUUUCUAAUCCUUUUAAAUUUCUAUUCAUAAACCAAAUCGUAUUCGACUCGGUACUUUAACGUGCUAGCCGAACACAAGCGUGUUUGGCUCGUUGACGCCCCUAGUUCCUGCUACCUAACCUUCAAAAAAUUUUAAUUUUACCAUCAUACCUUUCAAUUUAUUUGAUUUGAGCUAUUUAGAAACUUUGUAACUUCAAAAUUUAAAUACAUUAUUUAUCUUCAUGAAUUUAGUUAUCAUAUUUUAAAUAAUUUAUGUAAUUCUAAAUUCAUAGAAGUAAUUAGUUUAAAUUUUAUAUUGAAGAACCAUCAAAUUAUUUAAAUCAAACAACUUGAAUGACCGGAUGUUAAAAUCAAAAUUUUAAAAAAUUAAGUAGUUGAGUGAAAAUAAUCUAUAGUUUAGAUAAGUUUUAUAUAGUUUUAUCAACUAAGUUUAAACUUUAAAAUUAAAAAUACGAAUUAUUAAAUUCUUAGUCAAUUGAGCUUAUAUCUGCGAGAACCAAAAAUGUAGAAAAAUAUAAUCCAUCCUGAAUCUGCACUGAUUUGCUAAGUAAAUGAAGUGAAAGAUGAAAAAAAAUUUUCUUUCUUUAAUCCAUCCUAACAAAGCCGACAUCCCGAUCAAACUCGAAUGGGCCAAAAUAGAAUUAAAAUUAAUCCAUUCCGAUCCCGAAUCCGUCCCGUUUGCAUUCCUAUUCACUGUCUAAACCAUUUUAGGCUACUUUGAAAUAGAUCCCUCAACUAUUUCUUUUUGCAGUUUGCUUUCCUCGAAUAUAUUGCAUUUGCACAGAAUCCACAAAAUAAAAAAAUAAAAAAUAAAUAAAUAAAUCAUUUUAUCCCACAAUUUAUACAGUAAAUAUACUUUUUUGGUACCGUUUGGUUCGGAUAUAAACAAGAACUAAUUAUUACAGAGAUAAGUAUAAGUAUGGAAAUAAAAAAAAUAGUAUUUGGAUGAAAAUUAAAUUGUUCUCGGAGAUAAGAACAAUUUUAGAUAGUUUUAUAUAAAAAAUGAAGGUGUUGGUGGGAAUAACCGAGAACUACUAUUCUCGAAUAAAAAAUUAACGUUUGGAUAUAAAGGGGGAUAAGGACCUAUUCCUAUUCCUAUCCCCUAACCAAACGCUACAGCAUUGACAAAAUUUUACCAAAUGACUAGCUGAGUAUAAAAUAAGUUUGGAUAAAUUACACAUUUGGCCCUCAAACUAUGAGCGACAACACUCUGGUCCUUAAACUCUAAUUUGUUGUAAUUUUUUUUGUUCGGAAUUUCAUAAUUAUUGCAAUCAAGUCCCAUACUCUAAUUUAGUUGACUAAAUAUUAAUACAAAUAAUGUGGCAUCUUUUUAUUGAUGCAUAACCACCGAUCACAAUGCUGCUAAAUCACUUCUAUAUUAGCGAUACAUCUAUAUUUAGUCAACUAAAUUGAGGUACAGAACUUGAUUGCAACAAUUCUAAAAAUUCAAGCCAAAUCUUGCAACAAAUUAAAGUUUAAGAAUCAAAAUGUCACCGACCUUAUAGUUUGAGUAAACAUGCAAAAGAAUAAAAUCCUUUUUUUUUUUAAACUCAUUUUGAGAAUAACAUGCAAAACAUAAUACAUCUGAAGAGACAACAUACUACCUUAGAAUAUCAAAUGAUGAGCAGCACUGCCGCAUUCGGCAACCCUAGAUCUACAAUGAUCAGUGCAUGGUAUAAGCUGGGGAACGUCGACUGGCCCGUGUAUGCGAGAAUGAGUGCUUGUGCGCACGCAUGCUCGUGCGCGCAAGCACGCAUACGUGUGAAUCGGUGUGUGCGUGCAUGCGCGCGCGUGUUUGUGUCUGUGUGUGUGUGCACCUGCAUGCUUCCAGAGAAUGAGAAACAGAAACAAUUGGACAGCUUGCAUGUACAAAAAAAAAAAAAAAAAAAAAAAAAAAAAAAAAAAAAGGCUUAUCAUUAGUUAAAAAAGUAGCAUAAUGAAGGGCACAAUGUUCUUAUUUUCACCAACCUAAAGUGAUUGUGAUGAUAUGAGUGAGAUUAUUCUACCUGGUUUUUGUCUCACUUCGACUCAAUAAAAACCUAUAUACAUAAGAGAGAAGUAUUCUUUUUAAAGGCCUAUAAGUAAACUUGCAUUGUGUAAACUUGCAAUGUGCGCAAUUUUAAAAGUAUUAGAAUGGAAAUAUUUAUUUGAUGAGGAUGCACCGGAUCGGGCAACCUUCGGCACCACGGAGUCGAAGAGGUAAGCAAUGCAAAGUGUAUAUCCCUGGUUUGAUGUUCUCCAACUUUAGUCCUUCAACAAGGAUUAUUUCCUGGAAAACAGUGCAACUAACAAUUAGAAAUUGAUUUUACCUAUAAAGAAAAGGAAAAAAAUCGUAUCAAUCAAGAUUAUAUUGAAAAGGAAAAUCACGCACCCGGCUUUCGAGAAAAACUAAGUGUGAAGGGAUCAAGUCGUCGUAUGCAGCAACUGAUAAGUAGUCGACUCCUGCAAAUUAUAACAUAAAGUAAAAAGUGUUUGUUGGAGAAAUUUUAGUACUAGUAGCACGACGCUUGUAAGUAGAAGUGAUCGACAAGAAUUGAAGAACCAAGCAUUUUAAAACAUUCUGAACAGCACCGAAAUCGAUGGACAAGAAUUCAUAACCACAACGCAAAUUGAGAUACUAAAAUAAGCGCAGUUAAUGGAGAGAAGAACUACACUAGAAAAGAUAGCAAUGACUAAAAUAUAUGACAUCUAGGAAAUUAAUGGCAAAGAAGGAGCUAAAAUAAUAUCAGAAUUAUGCAAACAGCUUGUGCAAUACCACAAGCUAAAAUGCAUGGCUGACCUACAAAUCAGAAUAAAAGAAAAUGAAAUCUAAGUGAUAUACAAUCUUCCAUGUUAUAUUGUUCCACUACUCCAUUCAUAGGCACUCGAUGAUAUCGCUUUUGUGUUCUAAACAUUUAAAUUCUAAAAUUUCACAGGCUAUUAUAAGAGUUAUCCAUAAACAAACAUAUGGGUAAUGAAUUCCUCAAAGUUAUUAGUGACCUGCAUGUCAUUCAGGAAAUUAACUUUGCAACGCAAAAUUUUUAACUUAAAUUACAUUAUGACCAAUUACUUAAAGAAACAGAAUGUCAAAUGUUACGCAGCGUUGGACAGAGAUGUCAAAUAUGAACAGUGGCUGCUUGGUAACGGCCAGAAGACAUUGACCACUUUGACCACUCUGCUUUAAUUUACAAACUCAUAUUCAGUAACAUUCAAGGCAGACUAGGAAGAAUCAAAUGAGAAGGAAUAGCAGGAAAGAAUAAGAAUAAA
This 65597-nucleotide long non-coding RNA is filed under the name Ananas comosus (pineapple). RNAcentral describes it as "long non-coding RNA (ACOM_LNC020187)". The record is from RNAcentral. Lineage: Eukaryota; Viridiplantae; Streptophyta; Magnoliopsida; Poales; Bromeliaceae.